RNAcentral lists this long non-coding RNA (49173 nucleotides) under Malus domestica (apple). RNAcentral's name for it is "long non-coding RNA (MDOM_LNC001145)". The record is from RNAcentral. Lineage: Eukaryota; Viridiplantae; Streptophyta; Magnoliopsida; Rosales; Rosaceae.
CAAAAUUUCAUAUAAUUGAGCAAAUAUUCAUCAAUUAUAGAUGCUUUGUCUGCCAGACAAGGGCAGGAUACAGAAUGGCAGAACAGAUUAUAUGCUUUGUGAUCGACAAGUUAAUUCAACUACUCAUCACCACAGAAGCAAACCUUUCGAGAAAUGCAAGUACUGAAGUUGGUUUCAUCAAAGAUGAACUCGAGAGCAUCCGAUCAUUCCUCAAGGAAGCAGAUGCUAAGGCUGCAGCAGCAGACGGAGAGACGGGGAAUGAUGGUGUCAAAACUUGGGUCAAUCAAGUAAGAGAAGCAGCUUUUUAUAUUGAAGAUGUGAUUGAUGAAUAUUUGCUCCGCAUCUUACAGCAUCAUCAACACCAUGCAUUCCUUCGUUCUUUCCACAAAAUUAUCCGGUUGGCUAAAAAAUUGAGAUCACAGGAUGGGAUAGUUUUGAAAGUUGACGGUAUAAAAGAAUUGGUUCGUGGAAUCAAGGAGAGAAGUGAAAGAUAUGGAUUCAAAUCCCUUGAUCAGCAAGGCCAGAGCAGUGGAGAAAACAACGACCCUCGAGUGGCUUCCCUUUUCAUUGAGCAAGCUGAAAUCGUGGGGAUUGAAUCUACCAGAGAUGAGCUGACUGGUUUGUUGGUAGAAGAAGCACCAAGACGUAAAGUGAUAUCAGUGGUUGGCAUGGGAGGACUUGGGAAAACCACUCUUGCCAAGAAAGUAUAUGACCAGCCGAAGGUGAUGGCACACUUUGAUUGCUAUGCUUGGAUUACGGUGUCCCAAUCGUACAGGGUUGAGGAUCUUCUGAGGACGGUAAUAAAAAAGUUCUACAUUUCAAGGAAGGAGCUUUUCCCAGAGGAAAUCGACACAAUGGAUGAGGAGUCCCUGAUUAGCACAGCAAGAGAGUAUUUGCAGCAAAAGAGGUACGUUGUUGUGUUUGAUGAUGUGUGGAAAGUAGAUUUUUGGGGGGCUAUAGAACAUGCUUUACCCGAUAAUAAAGGCGGACGAAUAAUUAUCACUACACGGAUUCAAGGUGUUGCCAACUUUUGCAGAAGAUCUUGUUUUGUUCAUGUUCAUCACUUGCAGCAUCUGCCUCCAAACAAGGCAUGGGAAUUGUUUUGCAGAAAGGCAUUUCAGUUUGAAUUGGAGGGAAAGUGUCCUGAAGAUUUGGAAGAGUUGUCUCUUAACAUCGUCAAAAGAUGCGAAGGACUACCUUUGGCAAUUGUUUCCAUAGCUGGUCUGCUGUCAACCAAAGCUAAAGUUGUGUCUGAAUGGCAGAAGUUAUACAAUAGCUUAAGUUCAGAGUUAGAAAGCAAUCCCCACCUUACAAGCCUCACAAGAAUCAUAUCCCUCAGCUAUCACCAUCUGCCGUAUUACCUCAAAUCGUGUGUAUUAUACUUUGGCAUCUUUCCCGAGGAUUACUCAGUUAGUUGCAUAAGAUUAGUUCGGUUGUGGAUCGCUGAAGGUUUUGUGAAACCGAAGAGGGGCAAGACACUAGAAGAGGUUGGAGAGGAAUACUUGAUGGAGCUAAUUCACAGAAGCCUGGUUCAAGUUUCAGAAGUUUACAUUGAUGGAAAAGCUCGAGGUUGUAGAGUUCAUGAUCUAUUGCAUGACGUCCUCCUUAAGAAGGGGUUGGAUUCGAGCUUCUGUCAUGUGUUAUCAAAAGACGAGUCAACUUUUAAACCAACAACUCGACGUCUCUCAAUGGACAUCAGUCCUUCUGAGGCCGUGGGAAGCUUUACACAAUCUCAUAUUCGUUCUGUAUUUACUUUCAACCUAGAAGAAUGGCCUGGGUCUUUUCUCGAUACAUUGAGUGGAAACAUUAAACUUCUGAAAGUAUUGGAUUUCACAGAUGCUCCAAUCAAUCAACUUCCGAAAUAUGUGGGGGAUUUGUAUCUCUUGACGUAUUUAAGCUUGAGGAAUACAAGGGUGGAGUUGCUUCCAGACUUCAUAGGCAAUCUACAAAACUUGGAAACCUUGGAUCUAAAACAGUCUUUGGUGUAUGAAAUACCAGCCAAGAUCAAUAAGCUUGUUAAGCUGCGGCAUCUUUUGGCCUACCAUCGUGACUACAACUACGACGUGGGUUUGUAUUGGAAUUUGGAAAGAGGAGUGAAGAUACAUGAAGGUAUUGGAUGCUUACAAGCUUUGCAAAAUUGUCCUAUGUGGAGGCGAAUCAUGGAGGGAUCAGGUUAAUCAAAGAAUUGGGAAAGUUACGACAGCUACGGAAGUUAGGCCUAAAAAACUUGAAAAGUGAAGAUGGAAGGGCUGUGUGUGCUUCUAUUGAAAAGAUGAACCACCUUGAAUCUCUAAUUUUAACUGCAAUAAAUGAAGAUGAAGUCCUUGAUCUAGAAUCCAUUUCAACUCCACCACAAUUUAUUCGUGCUCUCUUCUUGAUAGGGCGUUUAGAGCAGUUGCCAGGUUGGAUUUCAAAUCUUCAACACCUCGUCAGAUUGGUGAUUUGUUGGUCAAGGUUGAGAGAUUCCCCACUAAAAGCCCUUCAAAAUCUACCUAAUCUGUUGGAGCUAACUUUGGAUAUCAAUGCAUAUGAUGGUGUGCAGCUGCAUUUUGAGGAAGGAGGAUUUCAUAAACUUAGAAAGCUACAUCUCAGGGAAAUGAUGGGACUAAAUUCGUUGAUCAUAGACGAUGGUGUCAUGCCUCUUCUCCAAGAGUUUCGCAUUGGGCCUUCCCCACAAAUGAAUGAGGUACCCUCUGGCAUCCACCAUCUCCGGAAUCUGACAUAUCUUCAUUUCUAUGACAUGCCAAAGGAGUUUGCGCGACAGAUGGAUCCAAAAAAUGGCCAACAUUAUUGGAUUGUUGAACAUAUACAAAAUGUUCGUUUUAGUUACAAGGUCGGACCAAGAUGGCGUGUAUAUGAAAUUCACGCCCUGCGUGAUUCCAACUUUUCUCUUUGGUGGAAUGCUUGAUUCCAACUUGUGAAACCAAGCAUGGGAAUGGGAUAUGCUUUGGUUAAGAGUUGGUUGUUAGCUCUGGUAUCCUAGUUUCUCUUGCAGGUUGACUGGGAGGGGCUCUUUCUCUUCUGUUUUCUUUGUGUCGUCCAAUCGUAUUCCUAGCAUUUUCCUUGUAAUUUUAUUGGUGGUUGCAAUAAAAAUAUCCUAUCCAAUUGAUUUUCUCUAGGAAAAUGAUAAACCGUAUGCUCCUUUUAACCUCACUUUGAUAAUUGAAGUUAAAAUAUUAAAUUUUUACUAUUUUUGAUCUUACCAAUUCUUUACUAUUUUAUAUUCUUUAUAUUAAUUUGUAAUCUCUAACAUAUUUUGUUAAUCAAAGGGUAGAUUUUGUGGAUUAUAGAAAUUUCAUGAAUCAUGAUUGUUUUUUUUUAUUUGCCAAAAAAUUCAUGAAUCAUGAUUGAGCAUUCUCCUUUUGUAUGUCACACAUAUUGAUCCAGCCACAUAUUUUUUGUAUGCACAAUAAUGAAAAUGUGUUAAGCGUUUAACGGUGUAAAUUCAAACUCCGUCGAUAACUAACGUAACAAAAUUUAUCGACAGACAAAAAAAAUAAAAAUUAGGUACAAGAUGUAAAGGUGAGGGCCCACAAAUGCAAGCGUUGGGGAUAGCGGAGUGGAUCCCACGAUUUCAAAAUUAUGGACAGGAGGAACAUUUCUCUCAAACUUGGGCGCUAAAAAAAGUCGUCGUCGUUUUUCCUUUUCUGGCUGAGUUUGCCUUCUUAAACCAACCCGACAUUCUCGGCCCAAACAAAUGUUCAAACCUUUCCGUUACUUCCCUUCACAAAUUUCCAAUUAGGGUUUCACAUUAACCUUGAUCAGAACUUCUACGUACAUAUAUAUACAUAUAUAUAUUUAUAUAUAAUCUCUCUCUCCCUCUGUUUCUGAAUUUUGAUUUCCCGGGAAGGUUUCAAACCCGAUCGUUUCUUCGAAAGUCUCUGAAAGCUUUUCGACAAAACAAAAAUCCAAAAUCUUUGUGAUAUCAAAAAGGAAAUAAAUUUCAAAACGCGCAUGGAAUUGGCUGGUUCAUUUGCCUGAAAGUUGGUUCAGAUAGAGAUGGAGGGAGGGGCGAGAGAGAUGGACGAAGAAUUGCUGGAGUUCGCGAGGGAGGCUUUCGAGGGGGAUGAAAUUGACAUGGACUACGAAUUGAUGCGCCAAAGGUUCUACGAUUUCACUAGGCCGGAAUCCUAUUGGGAGGCGGAGGAGGCGGAGGAAUGGUUCCGGUCCGCCGGAGGCUAUCACCCCACGCGUAAGCGAUUUCCAGAACAUUUGUUUGUUGGUUUCUUAUCAUUGAUAGACAUAUAUUGUGUGGCUGAGAUACUGCCACUUGUAUGCAGAUUAGAGAGUUAGUUAGAAAGUUAGUUAGGUAGUUUGUUUAGAAUAUUGAAAAGGGUAUAAAUACUGAUGUAUGUGGGAUUGCUUAGUAAGUAAGAAAAGUAAUAUACUGGAAGUGUUUGGUUUCUACUUCUCUCUCUAAAUUGCUUGAAUCUCUUCUUCUUCUCACUAUAUUUCUGUAGUUUAAUAUGGUAUCACUCGCCAUUAGAGCUUGAUCAGCUUCUUCGAUCCGAGUCUUCCGCAGCUCCAACACUUCGUCUUCCUCUGAAUUCUUGCUUCUUGUACGCAUUUCUUGAUUGCUUUGACUUCGUCUUCUCUGCUUUCUAGGGUUUAUUGUUUCUGGGUGCUCUGCAACUACGAUCUGGUUGCGUCUUCGUCUUCUUCUAAUAUUGCACUCCAGGUGUUUGAUCCAUUGUUUCAGUGAGUUUCGGCAACGAUGGUAACAGCUUCUCAACUUCAGCUUCUUCAAUCUCCGAUCACUGCUCUAGUUUCGUCGAUUUCUACAUCUGUGAAUGUGAAGUUGGAUGAUUCGAAUUAUCUCACUUGGCAUUUUCAAAUGCAAUUACUGCUUGAGAGUAAUGGAAUUCUAGGGUUUGUCGACGGCACGCAUCCCUGUCCUCCUCGACAUUCCUCACCAUCUGGAGAUUCUGGUGUUAAUUCCUCAAAUUCAACAACUUCUUCUGCUAGUGAUGAGUAUUUGAUUUGGAUAAUGCAUGAUAAAGCCCUGAUGCAGUUACUGACUGCUUCUUUGAGUCCAAUGGCUCUGUCGUGUGCUAUUGGUAGUACAAGCUCUCGGGAUCUCUGGAUUCGAUUGCAAGAACAAUUCUCCACAGUCUCCAAGACUAGCAUAUUUCAGAUGAAGUCUAAUCUUCAAACCAUUAAAAAGGGAUCUGAUUCUGUUGCUCAAUAUUUACAGAAAAUCAAAGAGGCCAGAGAUUAUCUUUCAGCUGCUGGGGUGUAUUUUGUUGAUGAAGAUAUUGUCAUUCUUGCGUUGAAUGGUUUGCCACCAGAGUAUAAUACAUUCAGAACAGUAAUAAGGGGACGUGAGAAUGUUAUAUCUCUGAAGGAGUUUAGGACACAAUUACUUGCUGAAGAAGCUAUUCUGGAAUCCACUGUUAAUGCACCUUUUAUGACUGCAAUGGUUGCUCAUAAUUUACCUCCGAGAGCACCUACUCAAUCCAAUUUUGUGGCUGGUGGUUUCAAGCAAUUCAAUGCUCCCAAAAACAAGGGGAAGGGCCGGUUUCAUCAAAAUAACAGGACUUUUUCAUCCAAGCCGUAUCUUCCUACUCAAACUCAUGUUCUCCAAAAUCCAAGUCCUGGUGUUCUUGGUUCUUUUCCUCAUCAGCAGCACUCCCCUCCUUCUGCUCCACAUCUCCUCUUAUGUCAACUUUGCAAUUGUGGUGGUCAUUCUGCGCCUUUCUGUCCAUCCAAUUCUUCUGCGAAAUCCCGAUGUCAGAUUUGUGGCAGGUUUAAUCACAGUACAUGGUUCUGUUUUUACAAUGACAAGGGUCCCAACUAUAUUGGUGCUGGCAAUGGUUCUUAUCCACAACCAGGGCAUCCAUAUUCUCAGCAGGCUUCUUAUUCACAGCAAGGGUAUUCAUCACAGUUUCCUGCUCCACAACAAAUUCAGUCUCAGGCACCAAUGCAGGCUUUUCAUACUAUGGUGCCACAACCCUCUCCUCCAGCAGCAUCUUCAUCUCCUUCCCAAGUUUGGAUCACUGAUUUCGGGGCAACGAAUCAUAUGACUGCUGAUCUUUCCAAUCUGUCUCUAGCUUUACCCUAUCCCACUAAUGAAGUCAUACAAACUGCCAAUGGUGAAGGUUUGCCUGUAUCUCACAUUGGUAGUACUGUUAUAAAACCAUCUCUCCAUCCUAUAAAAUUGAAUUCUGUGUUAUAUGUUCCCAAAUUAACACAGAAUCUUCUAUCUGUCCAUCGCAUAUGUUUGGAUAAUAAUUGUUGGCUUAUCUUUGAUGCCUUCUGUUUUUGGAUCCAGGACAAGGCCACAGGGAGGGUACUCUAUAAAAGAUUGUGCAGUAAUGGACUCUACCCACUCUCAUCUCUAGCCAAUGUGUCACCUGCUGGUUCUCAAAGCAUUGCUUCAAAUAAAGCCCUCCUUGGUCAGUUGGUUACUUCUUCUACUACCUGGCACAAUAGAUUAGGACAUCCAUCUAAUUCAGUUGUCUCUCUUAUGUUGCAUAAGUCCAAAGUUGCUUUUGCAAAAGACCCAAAUCCUGUUCUGUGUCCUAGUUGUCUUGAGGGUAAAUUCUGUAAACUUCCAUUUGCAUUAAGUGUCAAUAAAUCUGUAACUCCUUUUGAUGUAGUGCAUAGUGAUCUUUGGGGUCCUGCACCUUGUAAAUCUGUGGAUGGAUAUCGGUACUAUGUCACCUUCAUUGAUGAAUGUACCCGGUAUUCCUGGAUUUUCCCAUUGAUGAAUAAAUCCGAUCUUUGUGCCACUUUUAUUGCUUUUCAUGCUUAUGUUCUCACUCAAUUCUCUGCAAACAUUAAAAUUUUGCAAAGUGAUGGUGGUGGUGAGUACAUUAGCAAGUCACUUCAAUCUUUUCUUCUCCAAAAGGGCAUUUCUCAUCAAAAAUCCUGUCCUUAUACCCCUGAACAAAAUGGGAUGGCUGAACGUAAACACAGACACGUUAUUGAAACCACAAUUACUUUGUUGCAAACAGCUAAACUGCCUUCCCAGUUUUUGGUCCUUUGCAUGUCAAACUGCCAUUUAUCUCAUUAAUAGAAUGCCUACUCCCAUUCUCCAUAACCAGUCUCCUUUUGAAGCCUUAUAUGGUGCUGUUCCAGUGAUUCAUCACUUGCGAACGUUUGGUUGUGCUUGUUAUCAUUUCUUAAGACCUUACAAUGCUACCAAACUUCAAGCUAAGACUACAAAAUGUGUGUUUUUGGGAUAUGCAUCCAAAUUCAAGGGCUUCAUUUGUUUUGCAGUUUCUACACAUAAAUUCUUUGUGUCUAGACAUGUGGUAUUUAGUGAACAUGAGUUUCCUUAUAAUGACUUGUUGUCCCGAGCCACCACACCACAAUCUCCUACUUCUGUUCACAUUACUGACCUGUCAUCUCUUCCUGUCGUCCCCUCACAGCCUAUAGUCACUAUACCCUCCUCUCAUACUCCUAUUUCUCCUGAGUCUCCAUUACAUUCCCCUUCUGCUCCCGGGUCUUCAUCCUUCUCACCAACCACGUCUCAGUUUCUUGACCCACCACCCUCUCAUCAGUCCAUUACUGGUGCAGUUUCACCCACUGAUCACAACCCUGUGGUACUUGAACAUAGUCCUGUUACACUACAAGUGGUUCCUUCCAUUCCCUCCUUGAAUAUACACCCUAUGCAGACUAGGAGUAAGAGUGGUAUCAGCAAAAAGAAGGUUCUUUUGUCUGCUCUUGCUACUUCCAUGGAUGCUGAUUUGUCUAUGUGUGAACCCAAAACAUACAAAUCUGCUCUCAAGAGUCCUGUGUGGUUUCAAGCAAUGAAGGAAGAGAUCAGUGCUUUGCAUACUCAAGGAACAUGGAGUUUAGUUCCUUUACCUGCAAACAAGAAUUUAGUAGGGUGUAAAUGGAUUUUCAAACUCAAGAGACAUUCAGAUGGUUCAAUUGCACGCCAUAAAGCUCGAUUGGUUGCCAAGGGAUUUAGUCAAGAACCUGGGCUGGAUUACAGUGAGACCUUUAGUCCAGUUGUUAAACCCACCACAGUGAGGAUUGUUUUAGCACUUGCUGCUCACUUUAAUUGGUCACUUCGGCAACUAGAUGUCAAGAAUGCGUUUCUCCAUGGCAUAUUACAGGAUGAGGUGUAUAUGGAUCAGCCACCUGGCUUUGAGGAUCCCCAGAAUCCUACUUUGGUAUGUCAAUUGCAUAAGUCCCUAUAUGGCUUAAAACAGGCCCCGAGGGCAUGGAAUGACAGGUUUACUUCUUUUCUGCCUAAGUUGGGCUUCCAUAACACCUAUUCUGAUUCCUCCUUAUUUGUGAAACCUGUUGGUGCCAAUAUUGUGAUCUUAUUGCUAUAUGUCGAUGAUAUUAUCAUCACAGGAAGUGCAAUCACUGAGAUUCAGCAGGUCAUUGAUGCUUUAACUUCUGAAUUUGACAUCAAGGACUUAGGUCCUCUUCACUACUUCCUUGGCAUUCAGAUUUCCAAGACUGCCAAGGGGUUAUUUUUGUCCCAACAGAAAUAUGUACAGGAUCUCCUUGUCAAAACAGAAAUGCUUGACUCCAAGCCUUGUGACACACCCUGCUUACCUUCUACCAGGUUACUCAAGGAUGAUGGUGACCCUUAUCCUAAUCCUACUUUAUAUAGGAGUGUGGUGGGUGCUCUUCAAUAUCUAACGUUCACACGCCCUGAUAUAGCUUUCUCUGUGCAUCAAGUCUGUCAGUUUAUGCAAUAUCCUAUGGUCUCUCAUUUCACUGCAGUUAAAAGGAUCCUUCGGUAUUUGAAGGGCACUAUGUCCUGUGGCAUUACCUAUUCUCAAGGGGACUUGGCACUAUCUGCAUUUAGUGAUGCCGAUUGGGCUGGAGAUCCCAAUGAUCGGCGAUCUACAACAGGGUCUGUGGUGUUCCUCGGGCAUAAUCCUAUCUCAUGGUCCUCUAAGAAACAGCAGACAGUGUCCCGAUCUUCGACUGAGGCAGAGUAUCGUGCUUUAUCCUCCACUGCAGCAGAACUUGAUUGGAUUCAACAAAUCCUUGCUUUUCUGCAUUUUCCGAUGUCUGCUCCUCCUGUUUUAUACUGUGACAACCUUUCUGCUAUAGCCUUGUCUUUCAAUCCUGUCCAACAUCAACGGACCAAACACAUUGAAAUUGAUGUGCAUUUUGUUCGAGAGCGGGUUUCUCAGAACAAGCUUGUGGUGCAGUUUGUGUCCUCCAAGGAGCAGUUGCUGAUAUCUUGACCAAAGGCCUCAGUUCUUCAUUGUUCCUUUUUCAUUGUAACAAUCUCAUGUUAGGAUCAUCCAAACAUGAGCUUGAGGGAGGAUGAUAGACAUAUAUUGUGUGGCUGAGAUAUUGCCACUUGUAUGCAGAUUAGAGAGUUAGUUAGAAAGUUAGUUAGGUAGUUUGUUUAGAAUAUUGAAAAGGGUAUAAAUACUGAUGUAUGUGGGAUUGCUUAGUAAGUAAGAAAAGUAAUAUACUGGAAGUGUUUGGUUUCUACUUCUCUCUCUAAAUUGCUUGAAUCUCUUCUUCUUCUCACUAUAUUUAUGUAGUUUAAUAAUCAUGUCCCAAAAACAAUGAAUUUUGGAUCAUCUCCUAUGAUUACCACAUUAAUUAAUGAUCGUUUUCUGCUAAUAAAUUUCAACAUCUACAUGUUUAGUUCAUGCAUUUUAAAUAUGUUACGUUGUUUUAUAUGAACAGAUUAGAGAUUAAUUGAAUUAUAAAUAAUGUAAUUUGAUUAGAUUAAUUUGUUACCACUAACUUUGUAUUUUCUUUGUUUAAUUUGUUUCAAAUCCUUUAGCCUUCCUUGAAAAAUUGUUGAAUUGGCAAAAAGAGAAUCAUCCAGUACCUGUAAAAACCUCUGCGGAAUCGAAAGAUGUUGAAGUUACUAGAUGCAGUACCUUGAAAAAUUGCAUGGAAACGGAGAUCUCUGCAUUCGUAGACGAUAAUGACAAAGGUACAUUCGGCCUCAUCGACUCAUGUCUUAUUAGAUUUUCGACGCAAUGUGAUAGUUCGUUGUAAAAUUACCGCACUUGGAAAAUUUUAUGUCUGUUAUCUGAAUCGACUUUGCCUGAAUUAGUACAUGAAGUUGUAUCUCACUGUUAUGUUUUAUGUUCAUGUUUCGACAUGAUUAGAGUUUUCUAAUCACAUGGCUCAAGACACUCUGAAAACCAAACUGAAGUCCUCGGGUAAGUCACCACAUCUAUUAAGGAGUUCAACGUUAAUGAAAUUCACGGCGAGUCAGUUGGCCAAGCAAAAUCAGCACCGAGAGGUUCACUCCAAUCGGUUAUUAAGGAGGUGCUGUUAUUUUUCUCUGAUGUUUCUGUUGUCAUUAAUGUAUGUUUUGUUCUAAUUGUUUGGUGGUCUAGUUUUCUAACUUGUCCCAUUUUCCGACUCUUGAUUACAGAGUUGCGAAAAAGCUCGAGAAACUCGAUGAGAAAUCACAGAAUUCUCCGCCACCUACGAUGGGCUGCGAAAAUUCGAAGCAAUGUAGCAUAGCACUUUGCAAAUUCGGUAGUGCUAUCACACGUGCAUUCUUACUUCUCACUAACCCCUCUCAAUUUUUCGGCCAUUGGAAAAAUAAGUGUGUAAAUAACACUAUCCUACAAAUUACGCAACCGAAACUAUAACAGAAGAGCGAUUAUAACGUAUUAAAGUACCAUCUCACUAAAUUAUCCAACAAUGUUUCAGAGAUUAGGAACAAUCAUACUACUUUCAGCUCAGUCAUUCCAUCAAACGGCUGGUUCGCUGCAAUUCCACUUAUGCUCAAAUCACUACCGUCCGUUCCUACCAUCGAUUCCAUCAAAUUCUCCGAAACCCAUUUCUCAAUCAAAUCCAAACACAGCUGCAACCACACCCAGAAAAUUAAAAAGUCGAACUUUACAAAACUCCACUCCGAAAACAUAAAUUACACAAAACCCAACAAAAUCUCACCCUGUUCUCGGACAAUCCGACUUGAAUAACCCCAUCCGGAUUAUCCACCCUCUCGUACGGGUCCUCCGAAGCCCUAUCCAACCCGAUAUAGUACGGCGAGUCAUUGGGCUUCGCAAUCCAGCUCGCCCGGGAGGACAUCCGGACCCGGCCCAUGGACCCGCGGGUGGACAAGCUGGACCGCGACAGCGUUCUGGGGAGCUCCGCCAGGUUGGAGGAGGACUGGGAGGGGGAAGGUGGAUCGGGUUUGGAGGGUCGCCGUCGUUUUAGGUAGAGCUGGAGGCAGUAAUAGAGAGCACAUGGGAUUAGAGAGGCGAGGAUGAGGCCGCCUCUGCCUUGGACGACGCCUUGGAGUGGCACAAUCAGUCUCAUCGCGGUGACUCCGGUGGGCUUGUUUCGGGUUGGGUCGGAGUCGGGUUGGCCGGUCCAGGUCUCGAGCUGCAGUGGGAGGGUUUCGGGUUGGCCGUUGGUUGGCGUGGAGGGAUUGAGUGAGAUUCGAGAGCCCUGCGAGGGAAGUGUGUGUUUUGCAGUUUCGCUACCAGAAACUUUUGGUCUGGUUAUGAUUGGCACCUGCCAGUUUCCAUCUUUGCAUCUUUUGUUGGUGGCGUGCAAACACCAUCGUCGUAUAAUAACAAAAAAACGAUUUCAUUCUUUUUGGGGCUAAAGAUGUAAUUUUGAAUCAAAUGCUUUUCUUAUCAUAUUUUUUUAUACCGUAACCGUUAUCUAAUAAAGAUAAGAUACAUAUGUGUGUAGACCUUACUUUUAUUAGAGAAAUUGAGAAUUUUUACUGUGCUCAAAACAAUAGUUGUACCAUAUGUCCUGGUGCAAAUACUAAAUAUUAUUCUGUGUUUCGAGCACAUUAAAAAAUCUCUCGGAUCACAUUGUGUUUGGACCUGAUUUUACACAUCGGCCUAAGCAAUCGAGGCCGUUGAGUAAGCAUGGUUCUCAACCGUUGGAUAAGAAAGUUUAGAUAUUAUUGUUAAGAGAUAAUAUUAUGAUUUUUAAUCAUAAUAAUUAUUUUUUUAAUAAGUUAUCUCGGUUUUUAUGCAAAAUAAAUGGGAUGGAGGCAAGUAGAGUUGUGAUGGGGACGUGAGCUUUGAAUCAGGUUGGUUUGUUUUGCUGGACAUGCAUGCAUGGGAUGUAAAGAUAAUGAAGUGAUAGGGGAUAAAUCCAAACAUGCCAAAACGUGUAAUUUGCAAAAGAAUUGUGCAAUAUGGAGAUUCUAUCCUAAUGCAUGGUUUUUUGGGAUUGGUUUUGUGCACGUGGCAUGCGACAAUGGAGAUGAUGGUUUUGCAUGGUGAUGGCAAUAUGGGUUUAAAGGUUUCUCAUGUUUUUUAAUAAGAAGCCUAGGUGGGUUAGAUCUCUAGUGAGAUGUGAUAAAGCCUAGGUAGGCUUUAUUUAUCUGAAGGAUAUGUGCGGCGUAUUUGAUACGGGAUCAGGGUUUAUCUGAAGGAUAUGCGCAGCGUAUUUGAUACGGGAUCAAGGUCAAUUCCACAAAAUAGAGUUGCAGUUGGACUCUACAAAAUUAUUUGGCCGCGUCACACAACAUUUGCUCCUAUAAAUAUAGAGGUAGUGGCAACGGAAGAAGGACCCCUGCAAAUCAAUACAAAAUUGCCCUGCGCAAAUUCUCACAACUUGUGAUUUUUCUUUUCCCUUUUUUCGCUGACACAUCUUCCGUUGGCAUCAACAGCACUGUGGAAGCAACCGGUGAUAUCUUAAGUCGGCAUAGAUAGCUCUGUCACCGUAGAAUCAGUCGGUCUCGCAAUACUUUCCGUUGGCAUCAACAGCACUGCGGCGAGAACGACCGAUUACCUAUCCAAGUCUCGGUCGAGAAGGAUUUCUGAAUCCUUAUUGGUCGAGGUCAUCUCAUCAGCCUUCUCGGCGAAGUGAGGUGUUACGAGUUAUUACAUUCGGCACAUUGAGGGCCGAAUUUGAUAUUGAACUUCGUGAGAAUAGUAACCUUGUCUUCAGGUUCGAGAGCCCAAGAGGCCGAGACGUGUUCCUUUCUUGGCCGCAAUCGCAAGACGCAGAAGUCAGUAGCGCGACCCAACGCAACAUCAACAAAUUUACUCCUCGGCCGAGCUCGGCCGACGAGUUGGCACGCCCCGCAUUCACCGAAGGACGUAGUUAGCUUAUUAAUUACUCGGCCUGCGCGCCACGUAGGCUUGGUAGUUUUUAGGGUCAACAUUUUGGCACGCCCAGUGGGACCCAGUGCUAAACUACGAAGUUCACAUGAUCUAUCUCGAUCCGGCUUCAAGGGAUGAGUGUUAUCGCCUAUUAAAGGAGCAAAACAACUUCUCGAGAGUUUGAGAAGAAUUUCUGAAAGGCAAGAGGCCGGGGGGCAAAUCUCCACUCCGGCCACAACCAAUAUUCAGCCUAAGAAAAGUGAUAAUUUGGCCGAAGAACAAAGGCCACUUGUUGUUUCGGUAGAGACUGAAAAUAUAGUAGGCCUAGAAGAAAAAAUUCAAGUCCCUAAGCUAUAUACAAAAAUUGACUUGGAAAAAGAUUCGUCAAAAGAACGCUCCAGUGACGAACGAGGCCGAGAUAUUGGCCUAGCCCGAGAAACUACGCCAAUUGAUAUGAUUAUUGGCAAUAAAGCCGAUAUGGAGAAAUCCUGUUCGGCUAAGUUAUUUGAAUUAAAAGCCGAAAUUAUGCCUGGGGGGCAUAAUAAUUGUUCAGCGCAUUCGGCGGCCGAUAAAAAAUCUUUCGUCAAGUCAAACAUAUUUGGAGAUAGUAUUUUAUUCGGCCUUGCAAAAAUUCAAAGUGAAAGUUUUGAUACAAAAAGCCUUCGGCUUGGAAUAAAACAUCGUUGGCCUCCUCCAUUUAUAGUAGGGCCACUUUUGUUUUCUUUUGCUACAAAAUAAGAAUAAAUUAUUUUCUUAACCAUUCGGCUUUUUAGGCCGAUGCUUAAGAAAAUAAAGGGGGCAAUAAGAUGGUGCGGACUUAGAAAAACAAGAAAAAACAAGAUGGUGUACUCGGCAGACAAUUUUGGUCAAAUAAUGGUGUACUCGGCAGACAGUUUUGGUCGAAUGAAUUUGCGAGAGCAUGCAUGACAAUUGCUCGGCAGACAGUUUUGGUCAAAUGAAUUUAUGGGAGCAUGCAUGGUUGCGAAGCUUGCUCAAUUCAGUUUCGAUGUGCGGUUUAAUAUAUAUAUGUGUGUGUCAGAAUGACCCAUCACAUGAAACAGAAAGAGAGACGCAUACGGAAAAGACAAAGGAAAAUUCAUGAAGUUAUGGUAGGCUUCCACAUGGGCUAACCUUUUCGUUUGGUGAUGUAGUGAUCUGUGAAUUCCUAACAGCAUUAUUUGGCCGAAUACAAAUCUUUGGCCGAAUAAAACAUAGUUCGGCCGAAUAUAAUGGGUUAUAUAUAUAUAUAUAUAUAUAUAUAUAUAUAUAUAUAUAUAUAUAUAUAUAGGCUCUACAGCCAGUUCUUCUCGGUCUCAGCCCUAUUUACUCUCGACCCCAGUAUUUUUGACCGAUACUAGUGUUUUCUCGACCCCGGCAGUUGAGAGUUGGAGUAGUUCACGACACUGGCAGAGGGAGGUUAUGACAUUGGCAGAACAUAGGUGAUUUUAAUGCCGAGAGACAAAAUUUGUUUCGGCAAUACGACGAAGUGUUGUUGGCUACGAGCAAUUAAUUUCCUUAACCAUUCGGCUUACGAGCCGAAGCUCACGGAAACUAGGGGGCAAUGUUUGGACCUGAUUUUACACAUCGGCCUAAGCAAUCGAGGCCGUUGAGUAAGCAUGGUUCUCAACCGUUGGAUAAGAAAGUUUAGAUAUUAUUGUUAAGAGAUAAUAUUAUGAUUUUUAAUCAUAAUAAUUAUUUUUUUAAUAAGUUAUCUCGGUUUUUUAUGCAAAAUAAAUGGGAUGGAGGCAAGUAGAGUUGUGAUGGGGACGUGAGCUUUGAAUCAGGUUGGUUUGUUUUGCUGGACAUGCAUGCAUGGGAUGUAAAGAUAAUGAAGUGAUAGGGGAUAAAUCCAAACAUGCCAAAACGUGUAAUUUGCAAAAGAAUUGUGCAAUAUGGAGAUUCUAUCCUAAUGCAUGGUUUUUUGGGAUUGGUUUUGUGCACGUGGCAUGCGACAAUGGAGAUGAUGGUUUUGCAUGGUGAUGGCAAUAUGGGUUUAAAGGCUUCUCAUGUUUUUUAAUAAGAAGCCUAGGUGGGUUAUAUCUCUAGUGAGAUGUGAUAAAGCCUAGGUAGGCUUUAUUUAUCUGAAGGAUAUGUGCGGCGUAUUUGAUACGGGAUCAGGGUUUAUCUGAAGGAUAUGCGCAGCGUAUUUGAUACGGGAUCAAGGUCAAUUCCACAAAAUAGAGUUGCAGUUGGACUCUACAAAAUUAUUUGGCCGCGUCACACAACAUUUGCUCCUAUAAAUACAGAGGUAGUGGCAACGGAAGAAGGACCCCUGCAAAUCAAUACAAAAUUGCCCUGCGCAAAUUCUCACAACUUGUGAUUUUUCUUUUCCCUUUUUUCGCUGACACAUCUUCCGUUGGCAUCAACAGCACUGUGGAAGCAACCGGUGAUAUCUUAAGUCGGCAUAGAUAGCUCUGUCACCGUAGAAUCAGUCGGUCUCGCAAUACCUUCCAUUGGCAUCAACAGCACUGCGGCGAGAACGACCGAUUACCUAUCCAAGUCUCGGUCGAGAAGGAUUUCUGAAUCCUUAUUGGUCGAGGUCAUCUCAUCAGCCUUCUCGGCGAAGUGAGGUGUUACGAGUUAUUACAUUCGGCACAUUGAGGGCCGAAUUUGAUAUUGAACUUCGUGAGAAUAGUAACCUUGUCUUCAGGUUCGAGAGCCCAAGAGGCCGAGACGUGUUCCUUUCUCGGCCGCAAUCGCAAGACGCAGAAGUCAGUAGCGCGACCCAACGCAACAUCAACAAAUUUACUCCUCGGCCGAGCUCGGCCGACGAGUUGGCACGCCCCGCAUUCACCGAAGGACGUAGUUAGCUUAUUAAUUACUCGGCCUGCGCGCCACGUAGGCUUGGUAGUUUUUAGAGUCAACACAUUGUUAAUAAGCUCUUCAAUUCAAGUUUUCCUUUCUCACGGUAUCGAUAAUAUACCAAUGAAUCCACUUAUAUAUAUAUAUAUGUAUGUAUCUUCCCAAGUAGAGGGUAUAUAUAUAUGUGUGUGUGUGUAUCCUCCCAAGUAUACCAGCACUCCUUAAAUUAUUGAACAUUGAAUCAGAACAAGUCUGCAAUAUGAUGGAUUACACAUGUCAAUGGUUGAGACAAACGCUGACUCAUCACAUCACUCUUGUGUGUGUGUAUCUUCCCAAGUAUACCAUCACUCCAUAAAUGAUUGAACAUUGAAUCAGAACAACUCUGCAAUAUGAUGGAUUACACAUGUCAAUGGUUGAGACAAACGCUGGCUCAUCACAUCACUUUCAUAGAUUAGAGGCAGAUUUUCUGCCCUCCUAUUUGGAUCCCCUUCUCAUUCCAUUCUAUUUUAUGUUGUCACGAUUAAACCACGUCAAUAUUUUAUAUUGAUUUUUUUUAUAGAGAUAAUAAAACAAAAAGCAAUAUGAAUAUAAAAUGUUGACGUAACUUAACUGUGAUCACACAAAUAGAAGGGAAUGAGAAGGGUACCCAAACAGGAGGGCAGGCAACCUGCCUCCUCAUAGAUUCGGUCUCCUUGCAAUCUAGAAAGCCAUCUGCAACCUAAGCAGAAAUAUUCCACCACAAUUUAUUCGUGCUCUCUGUUGAUAGGGCGUUGAUAGGGCGUUUAGAGCAGUUGCCAAGUUGGAUUUCAAAUCUUCAACACCUCGUCAUAUUGGGUAUUUGUUGGUCAAGGUUGAGAGAUUCCCCACUAAAAGCCCUUCAAAAUCUACCUAAUCUGUUGGAGCUAUUUUUGAAAAUCAAUGCAUAUGAUGGUGUGCAGCUGCAUCUUGAGGAAGGAGGAUUUCAGAAGCUGAGGCAUCUGGAACUCAAGGACAUGGAGGGACAAAAUUCAUUGAUCAUAGACAAUGGGGUUAUGCCUCUUCUCCAAGAGUUUCACAUUGGACCUUCCCCACAACUGAAGGAGGUGCCCUCUGGCAUCCACCAUCUCCGAAAGCUGAGAUAUCUUGUUUUCUUUGACAUGCCAAAGGAGUUUGAACGACAUAUGGAUCCAAAUAAUAGACUGCAACAUUGGAUUGUUGAACAUAUACAAGAUGUCCGCUUUAGUUACAAGUUCGGACCAAGAUGGGGGUGUAUACGAAACUCACGCCCGACGUGAUUCCAACUUUUCUUUUUGGUAGAAGAUUCCAACUUGUGAAACCAAGCAUGGGAAUGGAAUGGUCUCUUUUUGUACAGUUUUUGGUUAGAGAGGUUUAGGGGUUGUUAAGAGUUGGUUGUUAGCUCUGGUAUCCUAGUUUCUCUUGCAGGUUGACUGGGAGUGGCUCUUUCUCUUCUGUUUUCUUUGUGUCGUCGAGUCUAGUGAUAUUUCUAGCAUUUUCCUUAUAAACUGUUUUUUUUAUUUAUAAAAAUUGAAAAAUAAAAAGGUAUCUUCUUCUCAAAUUCAGAAUGUUCAAGUGACCUAAUAAAAUUUCAUUGAACUUUAGGCGAAUGAAUCAAGUUUUUACUAGAGAUAAGUGUUAAUCUACAAUGGCUAUUUAUUCAAAAAGUUUUUUAGUAGUUUAAAAUCAUCAAACUAACUUUUUUUUUUGAAUGUGUUAAAAUUGGUUACCUGCAGAUAAUGAGUUCUUAACAUGUGAUUCAAUACCGACCCAAUUAGUUAAUGUGUAGAUUUGAAAUCUAUUAUUUUCGUACCAUUUCGAAUCGAGUUAACAGAUCGUAUAAGAAAUUGUCAGAUCUAACUUAAAUUUGAAAGGCUUGAUGACCGUUGGCAGGCCUACCAAAUAUAAAAUGGUUGUUGUUUGUUUGUUAAUUUAUAAAAACUUAAAAAGAGAGUUGGGUAGGUAUCGUAAUGACGCAAAGCCAGAGGCAACCACCUCUCUAAUUCGAGUUUUCCUUUCUCACUGUACCAACACGAGCAAAUUAAUCCCCUCAUAUAUCAUCGCAACUCCACGGUAUAUAAUAUAGCAACACUCCUUAAAUUAUUGAAAAUUGAAUCAGAACAAGUCCGCAAUAUGAUAUGAUGGAUUACCAAAGUCAAUGGAUGAACCAAACGCUGCCUUAUCACAUCGCUUUCAUAUUUUCAAUCUCCUUGCAAUCCAGAAAGUCCUCUGUAACCUAACCAGAAAUAUUCCACACGGAAGUAUUCAUAUAGAGAUUUUUCUCCAUCAAUUAUAGAUACUGUCUGCCAGAAAAGGCAGGAUACAAAAUGGCAGAAUCAGUUGUAUGCUUUGUGAUCGAUAAGUUAAUUUCACUACUCGUCACCACAGAAGCGAAACUUUCAAGAGACGUGCGUGCUGAAGUUGGUUUUCUCAGAGAUGAACUUGAAAGCAUCCGAUCAUUCCUCAAGGAUGCAGACGCUAAAGCAGCAGCAGCAGCAGCAGAAGGAGACAUGGUGACUGACAGUGCCAAAACUUGGGUCAAACAAGUAAGGGAAGCAGCUUUUUACAUUGAAGAUGUCAUCGAUGAGUAUUUGCUUCGUGUCACAAGGCACCAUCAAGACCGCGGAUUCGUUCGCUUUGUCCACAAAGUUGUUUGGUUUCUGAAGAAAAUGAAACCACAGGAUGAGAUAGCCUCAAAAAUAGAGGGCAUGAGAGCAUUGGUUAGUGAAAUCAAGGCUAGACAUGAAAGAUAUGGGCUUAGUUCAAUUGAUCAGCAAGGUCAAAGCAGUGAAGAAAUUGUUGUUUCGUGGCAUGACCCUCGAGUGGCUUCCCUUUUCAUCGAGGAAGCUGAAGUUGUUGGUGUGGAAUCUGCCAGAGAUGAGCUGAUUAGUUGGUUGGUAGGAAAAGCAUCAAGAGGCGCAUACCGUGAAGUAAUAUCAGUGGUUGGCAUGGGAGGACUUGGUAAGACCACUCUCGCCAAGAAAGUCUAUGACAACCAAAGGGUGAUCGAACACUUCGAUUGCCAUGCUUGGAUUACAGUGUCUCAGACGUACAAGGUGGAGGAUCUUCUGAGGCAGAUGGUAAUGCAAUUCUACAAGGCCAGGAAGGAAUAUACCCCGGAGGGCAUUGACACAAUGGAAAAAGAAUCUUUAAUUAGAAAAUCAAGAGAAUUACUGCAGCAAAAGAGGUACGUGAUUGUGUUUGAUGAUGUAUGGAAAGUAGAAUUUUGGGAGGCGAUAGAACAUGCUUUGCUGGAUAAUAAAGGGGGAAGAAUAGUGAUCACCACGAGGAUUAAAGAUGUUGCUGAUUUUUGCAAAAAGUCUUCUUAUGUUCAUAUUUACCGUUUGCAACCUCUGCCUCCAAUCAAGGCAUGGGAAUUGUUUUGUAGAAGGGCAUUUCAAUACGAAUUGGAGGGGAACUGCCCUGCAGAUUUGAAAGAUUUGUCUCUUGAAUUCGUUAGAAAGUGCGAAGGAUUGCCUUUGGCAAUUGUUUCCAUAGGUGGUCUGCUGUCAACAAAAGUUAAAGUUGUGUCUGAAUGGCAGAAGUUAUACGAUAGCUUAAGUUCAGAGUUAGAAAGCAAUCCCCACCUUACAAGCCUCACAAGAAUUCUAUCCUUCAGCUAUCAUCAUCUACCGUAUCACCUCAAAUCAUGUGUCUUAUACUUUGGCAUCUUUCCCGAGGACUACUCAAUUAGUUGCAUAAGACUAGCUCGGUUGUGGAUCGCUGAAGGCUUUGUGAAACCGAAGAGGGGCAAGACACUAGAAGAGGUUGCAGAGGAAUACUUGACUGAACUGAUACAUAGAAGCCUGGUGCAAGUGUCACAGGUUUGGAUCGAUGGGAAAGCUAAAAGCUGUCGAGUCCAUGAUCUGAUGCGCGAAGUGCUCCUUAGAAAAGCGGUGGAUUCAAAUUUCUGUCAUGUGUUAUCAGAAAAUGAGUCAACAAUAAAGCCAAUAACUCGACGCCUCUUGAUAGACAGCAUGCCCUAUGAUGCCUUGGGAAUAAUUGAACAAUCUCGCAUUCGUUCUUUAUUUACUUUCAACCAAGAACAAUGGCCCGAGUCUUUUCUCAGUACACUGAGUGGAAACUUUAAACUUAUGAAAAUAUUGGAUUUUGGAGAUGCUCCCCUGAAUCAUCUUCCGAAGUAUGUGGGAGAUUUGCAUCUCUUGAAGUACUUAAGCCUAAGGAAUACAAAGGUGAAGUUGCUUCCAGAGUCCAUAUGUAAUCUGCAAAACUUAGAAACACUGGAUUUAAAACAGUCUCUGGUAUAUGAAAUACCAGCCAAGAUCAAUAAGCUUCUAAGGUUGCGACAUCUUUUGGCCCAUUAUACUGACUCCAGCUCAAGGUUCAGGAUGAUCAGUAACGAACGAGGAGUGAAAAUACAUGAUGGUAUUGGAUGCUUACAAGCUUUACAACAGUUAUACCAUGUGGAAACAAAUCAUGGCGGAAUCAACCUAAUCAAAGCAUUGGAAAAGUUGAGGCAGCUGCGAAAGUUGGGCCUGAAAAACUUGAAACGUGAAUAUGGACGAGCUCUAUGUGCUUCGAUUGAAAAGAUGAACCACCUUGAAUCUCUAGAAGUAAGCACAAUAAGCGAAGAUGAAGUCCUUGACCUGCAAUCCAUUUCAACUCCACCCGAAUCUAUUCGGUUUCUCUACUUGAAGGGGCCUCUAGAGAAGUUGCCAAGUUGGAUUCCAAAGCUUCAACGACUUGUCAGGCUACGAAUUUUUUGGUCAAGGUUGACAGAUGCCCCACUGAAAGCUCUUCAAAACCUUCCUAAUUUGGUAGAGCUUGGGUUCUCAUUCAACGCAUAUGAUGGUGUGCAACUGCAUUUUGAGGGAGGCUUUAAGGAACUCAGGGUGUUAAAACUCAAGCACUUGCCCAGACUAAACUCAUUGAUCAUAGACAAUGGGGCUAUGCCUCUUCUCCGAGAGCUACAAAUUGGGCCUUCCCCACAACUGAAGGAGGUGCCCUCUGGCAUCCAGCACCUGAGAAAUCUAAGCUCUCUUAGAUUUGUUGACAUGCCAAAAGAGUUCCGACAACAUGGAUCCAAAUAAUGGCCAACAUUAUUGGAUUGUCGAACAUAUACAAGAUGUUCUUUUUAGUUACAAGUUGGGACAAAGAUGCGAUGUAUAUGAAACUCACGCCCUGCGUGAUUCCAACCUGUGAAAGCAUAUCUACAUGUGAGUUUUAAUCCCAGAACACCCCAUAUAACUCGCAAGGCUUAAAUGAAAUCGCCAAAUGUCAUUGUUGACACGAUCUGUGAUAUUCUUUAGUAUUAUCAACUGUUAUAGAUGUUUGCUUUGUAUGAAAACAAAAAAUAAAAACUUCAUUCAUGUUUGUGAGGAUUUGAUUGUGUUUGAGCAGGCAACAUUGAUUAUUUCUCACAACCCAGACAAGUGUUUGGCUAAUUAUUUCUCACACUAUCUAAUCAAAUGAAGGGCUAGGAGUUUCAGUUUGAGUGACGGUCCUAAAUCAUUUCUUUCGUUCCAGACAUGUUUCUGAAUUUGAAGCAUUAAACUUUUACUCAGCACACAAGCAUUGUGCGUAAGAUUUUUUUCAGUUGAAAGGCUUCACGGCAAGCCUACCACAGGUCUCCGAGGAUAAUCAUAGGAAACUUGCGAGGUUGAAUAUCAUUUGCAACCCAGCUAGCAGAAACAAAAGAGUCCCUUCUCCAGUACCAAGCUUAGCUAGAAGUCGAGGUUUUUGCCACAUGAAUUAAUUACGUAAAAUGAAACAAAUUAAAACUGAAUUAUGCUUGGUUAGUGAUGGAUGGCAGAUUCAAAUCAAAGAGAAGCAGUUAUAUAUGUUAAUGGAAGAUCAGAGCAAAACGCAUGGCUUAAACUUCAUUGUUUUACAUCUGCAACCGUAUCAGAAAGAACACAAAAGUAAGCAUACAUAAAGUGUGUUAAUACCUGAUUGAAUAAGUUAAUGAAAAAGUAGCAGAAGCAGUUGUAUUCUUUGUGAUUGAUAAGUCUCUACUCAUCUACUGUACAGAAGCAAAACUUCCAAGAGAUGUAUGAUAGAGAUUUUAACACAUGUUCAGGAAUUGGUAUAAACAAUUUACGAGUUUUUGAAUUAUUUAACUUAAUUAGCUCUAAGAACUAUGUUGGAGCAGUUAUGUUUUUAUUUAAUAUAUGUAUAUAUAUAUAUUUAUGAUUUGUUUUAUUAGAAACAUUAAAUAUAUAUAACUGUUAUUAGGAGUAAUUUUUAUUUGUAAAUAUAUUGGAGACAUUGUCAAUUAGGAGUAAUUUCCCUUCUUAAUUAUAUAGGAGACGUGAGGAAGUUUAUUACUUCAACAAAUUUGAUAUGCCUUCUCUAAAUAGAGUAGAAGAUCACGUCCACCUCCAUAUAUAAUCUAUCCGUUUUGAUUUUUACGUUUUGGUUUAUUCCGGAUUUCUAGUCCUUAAUUUAUAAAUCCUUCAACCUCUAUUUCUUUACUUUGUAUAUAAAUACAAGUCCUGAGUAUCGAUAAAAAAAAGAUAUAUAUAUAUAUAUAUAUAUAUAUAUAUAUAUAUAUAGAGAGAGAGAGAGAGAGAGAGAACUAUAAGCUGUUAAAUAAAUAAUUUUUGAAAUUAAGUUUUGAGAGCAACAUAUUGAAAGGGUGCAAGUUUGAAGGUUCUUCCAUUGUGCAAGGAAGAACCUUAUCAGAAGAAGGUUAUAGGCUGUUUUAUCCUGGGGACGACAUAGUGUUUGUGAACUGCUUGCACACUUUGGGCAGAGCUGCGAUAAAGAGAGCGACUUAGUCUGCGACUCAUCCUAAGAAUCAUUCAUCACUCAAGGCUUUUACAUUUUCCGGGUAACUUCAUUCAUUUCUAUUUCAGUUUUCAACAAACUACAUUAAUUUGACAAAACUAAAUUCUAUUGUACGUGACUUAAACAAAUAUAUCAAAUGAGAAUUGGCUUACAGAAAUAGUGAUUUAACUAAACAAAACAAGUAAAUGUAGAAACUUAAGAUAAUAGAAAUAAUUGAAGAAAAUUAGAUUGACAAGGCACUAGAGUUCGACCUUUACCAACAACACUCCUACGUAGCUCUUCCAAUUGCUUAAGUAAUCGAAAACACACAUGCUUUGAAGGUUGAGUUUUUCCUUAUGUAGUUUUACUUGUGACAUUCAAGCUAAAACGCAUACCACUACAUGCAAUUCAUCCAUGACAUUGAGAUUAAAUAUAAACAUGAGUGAUUUAUUAAUCUUGGUGAAAAUCCUUUUAAUAAACCAUGUAAUCCCUAAAAGUAUGAUAUUUACCUUAGGAGAAAUUACAAUCCUCAAUCACAAGAAGCAUAACCAAUUUUAACGUGACAUUCGUUCAAAAUUACAUCCGAUGACUGUUCUAAGCAUCCUAAUGGUGAUCAAGUAUCAAGGCACAUAUAUAGUUUAAUUUAAUGAUUGAAAAUAUCAAAGCAAACAUUUAAUAAUACUUAAGCAAUUAAAAGAGAAAUCUACGUAUUCAUGUUGAGGCUCAUGGCUUCACUCUAGUGAAAGAAAAUUAAUUAUACAUACUUAUCUAAAAACAUAAGAAAUUAUCCAUAAAAAAUCAAGGAAAGAAUACAACCUUUAGGCCAUCUCCAACCGAUGGCUGGCCAGAGGACUCGUUUAAGCCCUUUGGCCCUCCAAGAUUCUCCAAGAUAUUAAUAUUUUAAUGAACAGUACAAGGCCAUAUUUGCCUCCGUCUCCAACCGAGGACCAGAGGGCUCGUUUUAGCCCUUUCACAAAAAACCGUCUCCAACCGAGGGUCAAAGGGCUAUAGGGCCAAACAUAAUUUAUUAUUUAAAAACUACAACUUAAACGUUUUUAAAUGUUUUUAAAAAUGUUGUUUAAGUUUCAUGUUGUAUAAUUUUUAUGUUGCUUAAUGUUAUUUAAUGUUGUUUCAUGUUACUUAAUUUAAUUUAAUGUUGUAUAAUAACUUAGGAAGUUAUAGGAAAAAAAUAGAAUUUAAAAAAAAUAUGAAACAAAUUUUGUGAAAUAGAAGUUAUAGGAAAAAAAAAGAAUUUAAAAAAAAUAUGAAAUAAAUUUUGUGAAAUAGAAGUUAUAGGAGAAAAUAGAAGUUAUAUCAAAAAUUUUGUAAAUAAAAAAAAUAAUAAAACUGUAAAAUAAAAAAACAAAUGCAACAGCUAGCCGUUGCAUUUGAAUUUUUUCUUAAAAAAUCAUGUCGGUUAUAACCGACAGGAAUACAUGCUAUUAUUUAAUAUAAAUGUAUUACUGUCGGUUUAUUUAGUAUAAAUGUAUUACAUAACCGACAGUAAUACAUUUAUAUUAAAUAAAAGCAUGUAUUUCUGUCAGUUAUAACCGACAGAAAUAACAAAACAUUAAAAAAAAUAGCCAGCCCUCUCCGAUUCCGUAGGACCCUCCCAGAUUCCAAAGCCCUCUGGCCUAACCCUCAGUUGGAGACGGUUUUCAGGUUAUUUUCGGUCCUCUGGCCCUCUGAACCUUUUGUUGGAGAUGACCUUAUUUACAAGAAUUAUUCCUGCUGAGCUGCUUCCACCCUCCUCUCUCUGCCUUUGCUCUCUUCUUCUACUGUGCCUUCCGUCCGUCUCCCUGCUUCUCUUCUGUUUUUCCUCGUCUGUUUCGUGCCCUUCCUUCAACCAAAUGCAGCUAUCUGCUUUUUCCCGGCCACAAAGGCCCAGUGGAAGACAAGUCAAAUUUCACUUCGGUAGUGGGAUUGGCAAGGCAAAGCACAAAGUGCCCGUUCUUUUUCUUUUUUCUCCACUUGCCGUGUCCCAGCUUGGAAAAUUCCAAAAACGUUCGGUCAUUCCCAGUUGCCAAAGCAGGUUGGAGCUUUUGAACUCUUCUUCCGCUUUCUGCGCACACCCACUACCUCACAAUUACAACUUUAUUAGCCAAUCUAAUAUUAUAUCUUUAAUUGCUUACCAUGUCCUCUUCCAAUUGACAAGUGACACAAAGUUUCUAUGGAAAUUAAUAAAAAAUGUUUGAAAAUUUUGACUUUUAACGAAAAUAACACAAAUGUGUUGUAAGUGAAUAAUAUCCAAUAUUGACUUUUUAAAGUAAAAAGGAAAAUUUUGAAAUAGGUCCAGUUUUAUAGGCCUACUUUUAAAAUAGAUUCAAUUUUUAGUGACUUUUAACUUUUGAAAUAAGUCAAAUUUUUUAUUACUUUGAACCCAUAUCAAAAUACCUCAAGUAAAAAUGUGAUUUUCCAUUAAAAUGAACCGUACCAAAAGUGUUUUGUUGAAACUUACUUCUUAUUUUUAGAACUCAUAGAGGAGGAAAAGGAGAGAGAGUGGCGGAAAGAAAAUGUGGAAAUAAUUUCCACAAUUAGUUUUCUAUGUUUGCACACUUCCAAUAAUUUUCAUCACUCAAUUCUCACAUCAAGGGAAACAUAAUCAUGAUCACAAACAUAAUCAUGAAGUUUCCUCAUCAUUUUAUUUAUUUAUUUAGCCGAAAGCUGGUCCUAGAAACACAACAUGGCAAAAAUAUCACAAAUACUUAAAACUUUCAACUAAACUAAACAAGAAAACAAAAAUAAAAAGGCGAAAUAUAUAGAAAAAAUAUUGGUUCAUCAACAUACGCACUAAAGUUGCUUUCAUCUAUAAAAUCUAAGAGCUCUUAGAUAUAUUAACAUGCCGAAACAAUUCAUCGAGAUGUGAAUCCGAAAAAUGGCCAGUGUUAUUGGACUGUUGAGCUUAUACGAACGACAUGUUAUUUGUAUUUACAAGCGUGGGACGAGAUGCUGCACACACGAGAUUCACAACCUGCAUGAUUCCAGCUUGUGAAGGCGCACAGGCGAGUCCUACUUAACACCAGAAUACCCUGCACCCUGCACUUCAGGAUGCCGCAGUGAAAUGAUCAAAUUUCAUUUUUUUUCCCUAGCUGCCAUCACUUUAUUCUUCUAGGAGAUGCGACGAUUGGUGAGGACUUAUGUGGAACAGAUUUAUUGUAAACGUGGCAUCCCAAUUUAAUAAUAUAAUGCCACAUGACAUUGUCUUAUUGAACUGAGGCGCAACAGUGAUGGUGAACUCAUUUCAUGUAAGUUGCUAUUAUUGUUGGGUGUCCUUACGCAAAUUUUUCAAGACAAGGUGGAUUUUUAACCAAAGAUAGUUGUGUGGAAGCAUGAAAUAUGAAACCAAUAAGCUAAUACAACAAAAUAUGACAAGACAAAUAAUCCAAAUUAACACAAGGAUUUAUACUGGUUCGACGUAAGCCUACGUCCAGUUCAAAGACGGCGAGAAAAUUCGAUUAAUUGUUAGAUCCCAUAUCGCUGUGAGGAGUGGAUCCUUUAUGCCUUAUAUGUACAUGCCCACCUCUAUAUAGCACGAAAUCUUUUGGGAGCUCACUGACUUCGGGUUCCGUAGGAACUCCGAAGUUAAGCGAGAAAGGGGCUAUAGUAUUCCCAGGAUGGGUGACCUACUGGAAGUUCUACUCGCGUAAGUUCUCAUAAACAAAACCGUAAGGGCGUGAUCGAAGCCCAAAAUGAACAAUAUCGUACUACGGCGGAAUCGAGCUCGGGAUGUGAUGGAGCCCAGGUCGAGGUCACUAAUAGUCAAAAUGAAAAUUACAAAUUUAGUUCAACUCUCAAAUCCCAAAAUCCACAUACACCCAAUAACUCUCAUUCAUACAAAGAACAAAUGGAGAAUAUGGAAACACAUACCUAAUCCCUUCUCCCAAAAGCCAGAAAAAUUGUAGCACCAAUAUCUUGGAUUGAUUGAUUACAAACAAAGGGAGUUACAAACAAAAGGGAGAGUGCAACAGCUCUUCUUCAAAUGGGAGAGCCGAAUGCUCUCUCCUCUACUCACCUUCUUUCUGCUGCUUCCACCCUCACACUCUACCGCUCUCCUCUACUUAUCUCUCUGCAAGAUCCAGCAAGGAAGAUAAAGAGCACAACGAUGAAAGCAACAUUUUCUUCUCCGCCAACCAAAAAUGCCGAAAGAAAAAAAGGGAGGCAGAUUCUCUGCCCUCCCACUUCCCAUGCCCUCUUGUUUGUGUGGUCACGGUUAAGCAACGUCAAUAUUUUAUAUUACUAUUUCUUUUUGUCUUAUUAUCUCUAUAAAAAAAAUAAUAUAAAAUGUUGACGUGCCUUAACCGUGACCACACAAAAUAGAAGGGCACGGGAAGUGGGAGGGCAGAGAAUCUGCCUCCGAAAAAAAAAUCAACCUUUUCUUUUUUGUUCUACAAACAUCAUCAUUAUGCCUCCUCAUUAUGUUCCCACAUCAUUAUAUCCCCUUUUUCUUAUUCUAUUUUUCUUGCUUUCGGCUUCUUUAACAAAUGCAGCAAUUGCUGCCAAUUAAAACAAACGAAAACUAAUGAAAAUAAUUUGAAAAUUUUGAGUUUUAACGAAAAUAACAAAAUAAAAAGUAAAGUAAAUGGUACUAGAAUUAACCUUUUAAUGUAAAAAUGUAAUUUUUCGUUAACGUAAACAGUAUCGGAAGUUUUUUUGUUAAAAUUCUCAAACAAAGGAAAACCACCCGUGUCUUUCACAUGGACCAAAUAAACAAAACAACUUAAUGGGCAAUUGGGUCAAUAAGUGGCCCACCACAAUUUGGCACUAGAUUCUCACCUUCGACAAAGUGAAAACAAAACCAUUGGAAAAGCAAUAGCCCAUGUCUCAAGUUAAUAAGAAAGGUAUCUAUUUGCUUCAAUGUUUCUGACUCUCUUGAUACCAAAGCCAUCUGCUUCCCAUCGUUCAUAUUUCUUCCUGAUUCUUGCAUCCUCUUCUUUUUCAGAUUUCGUUUCUCUACCUUUGCAUCUCAAUUUUCUCUGUUUUUCUAAACAACUGCUUGCUCACCCAAACCGAAAGGCACAUUGCUUGGGGUUGUGGGGUUGCACAUAUUAUAUGGCAGAACAGAUUGUAUGCUUUGUGAUCGACAAGUUGAUUCAACUAUUCAUCACUACAGAAGCAAACCUUUCGAGAAAUGCACGUAUUGAAGUUGGUUUCAUCAAAGAUGAACUCGAGAGCAUCCGAUCAUUCCUCAAGGAAGCAGAUGCUAAGGCUGCAGCAGCAGAUGGAGAGACUAUGAACGACGGUGUUAAAACUUGGGUCAAUCAAGUAAGAGAAGCAGCCUUUUACAUUGAAGAUGUCAUCGAUGAAUAUUUGCUCCACAUCAUACAGCAUCAUCAACACCAUGGAUUCAUUCGUUUUUUCCAUAACAUAAUCCGGUUGGUUCAAAAAAUGAGAUCACAGGAUGGGAUAGUUUCGAAAGUUGACGGUAUAAAAAAAUUGGUUCGUGAAAUCAAGGAUAGAAGUGAAAGAUAUGGAUUCAAAUCUAUUGAUCAGCAAGGGCAGAGCAGUGUAGAAAAGACUCUACCGUCGAACGACCCUCGAGUGGCUUCCCUUUUCAUUGAGGAAGCUGAAAUUGUGGGGAUUGAAUCUGCCAGAGAUGAGCUAACUCGUUUGUUGGUAGAAGGAGCGCCAAGACGUGAAGUGAUAUCAGUGGUUGGCAUGGGAGGACUUGGGAAAACCACUCUUGCCAAGAAAGUGUAUGACCAGCCGAAGGUGAUGGCACACUUUGAUUGCUAUGCUUGGAUUACAGUGUCCCAGUCGUACAGGGUUGAGGAUCUUCUGAGGACGGUAAUAAAAAAGUUCUACAGUUCAAGGAAGGAGCGUUUCCCAGAGGAAAUUGACACAAUGGAUGAGGAGUCCCUGAUUAGCACAUCUAGAGAGUAUUUGCAGCAAAAGAGGUACAUUGUUGUGUUUGAUGAUGUGUGGAAAGUAGAUUUUUGGGGGGCAAUAGAACAUGCUUUACCCGAUAGUAAAGGCGGACGAAUAAUUAUCACUACACGGAUUCAAGAUGUUGCCAACUUUUGCAAAAGAUCUUGUUUUGUUCAUGUUCAUCACUUGCAGCAUCUGCCUCCAAACAAGGCAUGGGAAUUGUUUGUAGGAAGGCAUUUCAGUUUGAAUUGGAGGGAAAGUGUCCUGAAGAGUUGGAAGAGUUGUCUCUUAACAUCGUCAAAAGAUGCGAAGGACUACCUUUGGCAAUUGUUUCCGUAGGUGGUCUGCUGUCAACCAAAGCUAAAGUUGUGUCUGAAUGGCAGAAGUUAUACAAUAGCUUAAGUUCAGAGUUAGAAAGAAAUCCCCACCUUACAAGCCUCACAAGAAUCCUAUCCCUCAGCUAUCACCAUCUACCGUAUUACCUCAAAUCGUGUGUAUUAUACUUUGGCAUCUUUCCCGAGGAUUACUCAGUUAAUUGCAUAAGAUUAGUUCGGUUGUGGAUCGCUGAAGGCUUUGUGAAACCGAGGAGGGGCAAGACACUAGAAGAGGUUGGAGAGGAAUACUUGAUGGAGCUAAUUCACAGAAGCCUGGUUCAAGUUUCAGAAGUUUACAUUGAUGGAAAAGCUCGAGCUUGUAGAGUUCAUGAUCUAUUGCACGACGUCCUCCUUAAAAAGGGGCUGGAUUCAAGCUUCUGUCAUGUGUUAUCAAAAGACGAGUCGACUUUUAAACCAACAACUCGACGUCUCUCAUUGAACAUCAGUCCCUCUUGGGCCCUGGGAAGCAUUACACAAUCUCAUAUUCGUUCCGUAUUUACUUUCAACCUAGAAGAAUGGCCCGAGUCUUUUCUCGAUACAUUGAGUGGAAACAUUAAACUUGUGAAAGUAUUGGAUUUCACGGAUGCUCCAAUCAAUCAACUUCCUAAAUAUGUGGGUGAUUUGUAUCUCUUGACGUACUUAAGCCUGAGGAAUACAAAGGUGAAGUUGCUUCCAGACUCCAUAGGCAAUCUACAAAACUUGGAAACCCUGGAUCUAAAACAGUCCUUGGUGUAUGAAAUACCAACCAAGAUCAAUAAGCUUGUUAAGCUGCGGCAUCUUUUGGCCUACCAUCGUGACUACAACUGCGACGUGCGUUUGUUCUUGAAUAUGGAAAAAGAAGUGAAGAUACAUGAAGGUAUUGGAUGCUUACAGCUUUGCAAAAACUGUCCUAUGUGGAGGCGAAUCAUGGAGGGAUCAGGCUAAUCAAAGAACUGGGAAAGUUAAGACAGCUACGGAAGUUAGGCCUAAAAAACUUGAAAAGUGAAGAUGGAAGGGCUGUGUGUGCUUCUAUUGAAAAGAUGAACCACCUUGAAUCUCUACUUUUAACUGCAAUAAAUGAAGAUGAAGUCCUUGAUCUAGAAUCUAUUUCAACUCCACCAGAAUUUCUUCGUUCUCUCUGCUUGAUAGGGCGUUUAGAGCAGUUGCCAGGUUGGAUUUCAAAUCUUCAACACAUAGUCAAGAUAACCAUUUAUUGGUCAAGGUUGAGAGAUUCCCCACUAAAAGCCCUUCAAAAUCUACCUAAUCUGUUGAAGCUAACUUUGGGUAGGAAUGCAUAUGAUGGUGUGCAGCUGCAUUUUGAGGAAGGAGGAUUUCAGAAACUUAGGGAGCUAAGGCAAAGAUGGUGGGACUAAAUUCGUUGAUCAUAGACAAUGGUGUCAUGCCUUUUCUCCAAGAGUUUCACAUUCGACCUUCCCCACAACUGAAGGAGGUGCCCUCUGGCAUCCACCAUCUCCGGAAUCUGACAACUCUUGAUUUCUAUGACAUGCCAAAGGAGUUUGCGCGACAGAUGGAUCCAGAAAAUGGCCAACAUUAUUGGAUUGUUGAACAUGUACAAAAUGUUCGUUUUAUUUACAAGGUCGGACCAAGUUGGGGUGAAUAUGAAACUCACGUCCUGCGCGAUUCCAACUUUUCUCUUUGGUCGAAUGCUUGAAUCCAACUUGUGAGGGGCUCUUGCAGGUUGACUGGGAGGGGCUCUUGCAUGUUUUGGUUAAGAGUUGGUUGUCAGCUCUGGUAUCCUAGUUUCUCUUGCUGGUUGGCUGGGAGGGGCUCUAUCUCUUCUGUUUUCUUUGUGUCGUCCAGUCGUAUUCCUAGCAUUUUCCUUGUAAUUUUAUUGGUGGUUGCAAUAAAAAUAUCCUUUCUAAUUAAUUUUCUCUAGGAGAAUGAUAAACCGUAUGCUCUUUUUAAUCUCACUUUGAUAAUUGAUGUUAAAAUAAUAAAUUUUUACUAUCUUUUAUUUUACCAAUUCUUUAGUAUUUUAUAUUCUUUAUAUUAAUUUGUAAUCUCUAAGAUAUUUUGUUGAGUAAAUUGUACAAAUGGUCCCUCAACUUUAAUCAAAUUGGAGCAAUGGUCCCUCAACUAAAAAUCCAUUACCUUUGGUCCCUCAACUUAUCAAAACGUGCAGCUAUGGUCCCUCAACUAAAAAUCCAUUACCAUUGGUCCCUGAACUUUAAUUCAAGUGGAGAAAUUGUCCUUUAACUUUAACCCAAUUGUAACAAUAGUCCUUCCAAUAUAACUCGUUUUGACAAAUUUUUUGACAUAGUUGACGAAAAGAACCAUAAUCAUACACUUUGAUGAGUUAAGGGACCCUAAUUAUAUAAAUGGUUAUUCCAACAUAGCUUAUUUUGACAAUAUUUUGACAAAAUUGAUGAAAAGGACUAUAGCUACACAUUUUGAUAAGUUGAGGGACCAAUGGUAAUGAAUUUUUAGUUGAGGGACCAUUGCUCCAAUUUGAUUAAAGUUGAGGGACCAUUUGUACAAUUUACUCUAUUUUGUUAAUCAAAGGGUAGAUUUUGUGGAUUAUAGAAAUUUCAUGAAUCGUGAUUUUUUUUUUUGGCCAAAAAUUUCGUGAAUCAUGAUUGAGCUCUCUCCAUUUGUAUGCACAGAUUGAUCCAGCCACACAUAUUUUGUAUGCACAGUGGUGAAAAAGUGUUGAGUGCUUACAUGACAGUAUUUAUUCAAACUUCAUCAAUAACUAAUCUAACAUUUAAUGUAACAAAUUUUAUCGAUGGACCAAAAAAAAAAAAGUUUGGUGCAAGAUGUAAAGGUGAGGGCCCACAAAUGCAAGCGUUGGGCGUGGCGGAGUGGAUCCCACGAUUUCAAAAUUCUGGACAGAAGGAACAUUUCUCUCAAACUUGGGCGCUGAAAAAAGUUGUCGUCGUCGUCUUUCCUUUUCUGGCUGAGUUUGCCUUCUUAAACCAACCCGAAAUUCUCGCCCCAAACAAAUAUUCAAACCUUUCCGUUUCUUCCCUUCACAAAUUUCCAAUUAGGGUUUCACAUUAACCUUGAUCAAAACUUCUACGUACAUAUAUAUACAUAUAUAUUUACAUAUAAUCUCUCUCUCUCCCUCUGUUUCUGAAUUUUGAUUUCCCGGGAAAGUUUCGAACUCGAUCGCUUCUUCGAAAGUCUCCUAAAGCUUUUUGAAAAAACAAAAAUCCAAAAUAUUUGUGAUAUAAAAAGGAAAUAAAUUUUAAAUCGCGCAUGGAAUUGACUGGUUCAUUUGCCUGAAAGUUGGUUCAGAUAGAGAGAGAUGGAGGGAGGGGAGACAGAGAUUGAGGGAGGAGAGAGAGAGAUGGAAGAAGAAAUGGUGGAAUUCGCGAGGGAGGCUUUCGAGGGGGAUGAAAUUGACAUGGACUACGAAUUCGAUGCGCUAAAGGUUCUACGAUUUCACUAGGCCGGAAUCUGAUUGGGAGGCCGAGGAGGCGGAGGAAUGGUUCCGGUCAGCCGGAGGCUAUAAGCCCUCGCGUAAGCGAUUUCCGGAUCAUUUGUUUGUUGUUUUCUUAGCAUGUCCCAAAAACAAUGAAUUGGAUCAUCUUCUAUGAUUACCACAUUAAUUAAUGAUCGUUUUCUGCUAAUUAAUUUCAGCAUCUACAUGUUAAGUUCAUGCAUUUUAGUUAUGUUACGUUGUUUUAUAUGAACAGAUUAGAGAUUGAAUUAUAAAUAUUAUAAUUUGAUUGGAUUAAUUUGUUACCACUAACUUUAUUUUUCCUUUGUUUAAUUUGUUUCAAAUCCUUUAGCUUUCCUUGAAAAAUGGUUGAAUUGGCAACAAGAGAAUCAUCCGGUACCUGUAAAAACCUCCGCGGAAUCGAAAGAUGUUGAAGUUACUAGAUGCAGUAACUUGAAUAAUUGCAUGAAAGCAAAGGUCUCUGCACCCGUAGAAGAUAAUGACAAAGGUACAUUCUACCUCAUUUCUUAUUAGAUUUUUGACGCAAUGUGAUACUUCGUUGUAAAAUUACUACACUCGGAAAAUUUUAGUUCUGUUUUCUGAAUCGGCUUUGCCUGAAUUGGUACAUGAAAUUGUAUCUUACUGUUAUGUUUUAUGUUAAACUUUCGACACGAUUAGAGUUUUCUAAUCACAUGGCUCAAGACACUCCGAAAACCAAACUGAAGUCCCCGGGUAAGUCACCACAUCUAUCAAGGAGUUCAACGUUAAUGAAACCCACGGCGAGUCGGUUGGCCAAGCAAAAUCAGCACCGAGAGGUUCACUCCAAUCGGUUAUUAAGGAGGUGCUGUUAUUUUUCUCUGAUGUUUCUGUUGUCAUCAAUGUAUCUUUUGUUCUAAUUGUUUGGUGGUCCAGUUUUCUAACUUGUCCCAUUUUCCGACUCUUGGUUACAGAGUUGCGAAAAAGCUCGGGAAACUUGAUUAGAAAUCACCGAAUUCUCCGCCACCUACGAUGGGCUACGAAAAUUCGAAGUAAUGUAGCAUAGCACUUUGCAAAUUGGGUAGUGCUAUCCACACGUCCAUUUUUACUUUUAACACACCCCUCUCAAUUUUUCGGUCAUUGGAAAAAUGAGUGUGUAAAUAGUACUAUCCUACAAAUUACGCAACCGAAACUAUAUCAGAAGAGCGAUUAUAACGUAUUAAAGUACCAUCUCACUAAAUUAUCCAACAAUGUUUCAGAGAUUAGAAACAAUCAUACCACUUUCAGCUUAGUCAUUCCAUCAAACGGCUGGUACGCUGCAAUCCCACUUAUGCUCAAAUCACCACCGUCCGUUCCCACCAUCGAUUCCAUCAGAUUCUCCGAAACCCAUUUCUCAAUCAAAUCCAAACACAGCUGCAACCACACCCAGAAAAUUAAAAAGUUGAACUUUACAUAAACUCCACUCCGAAAACAUAAAUUACACAAAACCCAACAAAAUCUCACCCUGUUCUCAGACAAUCCGAGUUGAAUAACCCCAUCCGGAUUAUCCACCCUAUCGUACGGCUCCUCCGAAGCCCUAUCCAACCCGAUAUAGUACGGCGAGUCAUUGGGCUUCGCAACCCAGCUCGCCCGGGAGGACAUCCGGACCCGGCCCAUGGGCCCGCGGGUGGACAAGCUGGACCGCGACGGCGUUCUGGGGAGCUCCGCCAGGUUGGAGGAGGACUGGGAGGGGGAAGGUGGAUCGGGGUUGGAGGGUCGGCGUCGUUUUAGGUAGAGCUGGAGGCAGUAAUAGAGAGCACAUGGGAUUAGAGAGGCGAGGAUGAGGCCGCCUCUGCCUUGGACGACGCCUUGGAGUGGCACAAUCAGUCUCAUCGCGGUGACUCCGGUGGGCUUGUUUCGGGUUGGGUCGGAGUCGGGUUCGCGGGUCCGGGUCUCGAGCUGUAGUGGGAGGGUUUCGGGUUGGCCGUGGGUUGCCGUGGAGGGAUUGAGUGAGAUUCGAGAGCCCUGCGAGGGAAGUGUGUGUUUUUGCAGUUUUGCUUCCAGAAACUUUUGGUCAGUUUACGAUUGGCACCUGCCAGUUUCGAUAUUUGGAUCUUUUGUUGGCGUGCUAACACCUCGUCGUAUUACUUUAUAGCACAUUUACUAUUCCGGAAUCAGAUUAACGGAAUUUAAUGAAGAAUGAAUUGAAUUGAAGAUGAAUUAGAAUGAGGUAGAAUCAGAAUCAGAUUAUUGUUGGAGUUGUUUAUUAAAAUUAUCUGGAAUCAGAAUAAAAACUUAUGUGUUUAGGGAACCCUAGUUUAACUAAUCUAUUUUAUAUGCAAAUUAUUUUUAAACUUUUAUUCUUUCAUUUUUUUUUCGUAUAGAGAACAUUUUUAUUUUAUUUUGUAGUAAAAAUUUAUUCUUUCAUUUUUCCAAUUUUUUUUUUGUGACCCUCAGUCUCUCCCCUCUCUUCCCCAUCUUUCUCCCGACCUAAAAAAGUUUCUAAGGGUUUGUUUGGUAUCCUAUUUGAAAUUUUUUAUAAUUUUUCAAAACAUUUCUAAAGAAUUUUUCUUGAAAACAAUUUUUUUUAAGACUCAAAAACUUGUUUGGUAUGCGAUUUAAAAUUUUUAAAUCUUACAACUUAAACUGGACAAAAAGAUCCAUAAAAAUGGGGUCGAGAGAGAAAGAGGAGAGAGGAGAAAAGAAAGUCAGAGAUGAUUGGAGGAAAGAGAAAGAAGUGAGAAGAUCGGAGGAGAUAGAGAGGAAGAGGAGUAAGAGAAAGAACCGAGAAAAUGAAGAGAGCGGAUUGGAAGAGAGACGAAAAAGGUAAAAUAAAAAAGAGAAGGGUGAGAGAGAAAGAAGAAAAUAGAGAUAGAUUUAGAGUGAGAGGGGAGGAAGAAGAGAAAAGAAAUGAGUGAGUUUAAGUUUAAAAACUCUAAAAACUCACUUUUUGUGUUUUUAGAUAAUAGACUAUAUUUUUUAGUUAGUCUUGAGUUCAGUUUUUGAAAAUAAUCCUACUAAACAAGUUUUUAAGGCCUAAAACUUGAAAAUUGUUUUUGAGUUUAAAAAGUUGGAUUCAAGUAGCGUACCAAACAUGCUCUAAAAUGUCCCCAUCUUUCUCUGUUUUUGACGUUCUGCCGACCUAACCCUUUCUAACAUAUCUUUCUAUGUUGCCAACCCACCCCACGUUUGGCAAUAACCUUUCAUGCUCCCUCUUUCCAUGUCCCAGCCUUGAUUUUUUUACCCCAAUUUUGAGUUUCCCAGUUGAGGCAAUGACUGAGCUUUUAACCAUGGAGUCGGCAGAUUGAAGAGUCGAAAUGAGAAUAUAUAAGCAUAGGGACAUGAAUCAAGUUUGGGAUAAACAACAGCUGACUGAAGGCCAAGAGGAAGAUGGACCUUGAAAGCUCCAGUCCCAAGUCGCGAAAACGAAGAGGAAUUGGAGAAGAAGUUGCAACGAGUCGACUGAGAGAGAAACUAGAGUGUUGAAGUUGCAGGGGUGUUUUGGGAUAUCAAAAGAAGUACAAGGCCACUUUAGAAAGAAAAGUUUGAUUAUUGAUGGACCCUUUCUUCUGGAAUUCAAUUACCAGUAUAUCUUGGUAAUCAGAUUCCGGGUAAAUCCGGAAUUGAAUUCCCCAUUUUGGUGGACCCCACCUUUAUUUUCAUUCUCCAAAUACAAGUAAACACAUGAAUGCAUUGGAAGGAAUUCAAUUCCGAUUCCACUUACCUCAUUCCCGUUUCGUAAUGAACAGUGUUUGUACCCGGAUUUCAGUUUAAUUACAACCAUGCCAUUGCUUUAAUGAGUAGGCUUUGUGGAAGGUUUGGGUUCGGGCUGGGGUUUUAUUUUUUUGGGUUUGGGAGGAUGGGCUUUUGCGGGUUUGGGGUGUGGCUGGGUUUGUUUUGGUUGGUGUUUGUAGGUGUAGGUAUGGAGUAAGGUGGAUGCGGUGACACAUCCACAGAGCCUAACCUGCAGCUUGCAGAAUGGCAGAGAGAAGAGGAGAGAUGGAAGAGUCGUGGGUGAGAAAAAAGGAGAGAGGGAAGAGUCGUGAGUUGCAAACGGGAUAGGAGGAAAGACGGAAGGAGAGAAGGAAGGGUAGGAUGAGCGAAGCAACGGUAGGGGUGCCCGAAAGUUUGGGAUUGUUUGUUGUCGACAACGGGUGCGCAGAGAGAGGGCGAGGCACGGAGGGAGGGCUAGGGGUAGGGUUCCUUUCGGAAUUUUGGUCCAACUCAAUGGGUGAGUAAUGCUAUUUAUUUUCAUGCGCAUGUUUUCUGGAAGUUCAUUCCUGUUUUGGGAUGUUUGAAUAUGUAGGCAUUGUUUAAAUUACAAUAUUUUAUAAAGUUAAACUGUUUAAAUUACUUAUUUAUAAUUUUAGCCCUUGCGCCACUUUGAGGGACUACUGGGAUUGACUGCUGGUAGAGCUCAUAUCAAUUGCUGUAAGUCCCUUACUUCCGGACACUUACAUUUAUGAUCAUUUUUGUGUUAAGAUGAUACAGUUAUAACUUAUAACCGUCUUACAUAGAUCAACGCAUAUGUAUAUCGAAUUUACCUACAUUACUCGAACAAUUUCUUUUCGAUUCACAAAGGGAAUUAAUAAAAUCCAAUAUCUGUGUAAAAGUUUGGUUUCCAACUUUCUAGCAGUGAAAGUGUUGCCCUUUCUGCAGACUACACCCUUUCACACACUCACUUUGAUAUGGUUAAACAUAUGUAUUCAAGAUUUUGAUCUCUGUGUGAUUUGGCAAUACUUAUCACCUAAUAUUCCUCUCUCUCUCUCAUGAAGGCACUCAUUGCAUUAAAAAAAGGUUCCCAGUUAAUCAAAUAUAGCCGGAAAGGGAAGCCAAAACUUUGUCCAUUCAGAAUUUCAACUGUGAGUAAUUUCCUUAAGAGAAGAACAAGUUUGAAUCACUUUUUUUGUAAUUGUGUUUAUUAUAGUUCUUUGAAUGAAAAUCCUAAUUUGUACAAAUUACAAGGUAUGUUACCACCCUCUUUAAUCUAAAUAUAUGCAAUGUGCAGAAUUACAUCUGUUCUCAAGAAUGAACCUGUUUUGUUCCAUCCUUCUGUUAAGGAUUAUAAUUUAUAUAGAAUUUAUAAGGUUUCUCUCUUUCAGGUUACUUUAUGUUUCGAAUUAAUUGGAUAUAGCAUUCUUCACGAGCUUUGAUAAUUAUUUAAUUUCUAAGUUUUGUUCCAUGCAUGGUUGAUUUUCUUUAAUAAUUAUUGAAUCACUUCUAUAUUUGCUUGGUACUUAGGAUCUAAAGCAUUUUUCCUUUUGAAGAGCAGCUACAGGGAAAGUAUGAGGUGCCCUUUUCUUCUUUGUGUGUGUUUUUUUUUUAAUUUCUAAUUUUUAUGCCGGAACUCGAAAUCAAAGUUCUGAUCUGGGACUGAUUGCUUAGAGCUCUGAUUGCUUACCUUGUCUGUCACCUCUUUCAGCAGAUCCCCUAGCUCGACGACUUGGGGGACUCCUACUACAUGGUUUGUAUCGCGCUUAACCAAGCCUGAAACUACAAGUAAGCUUCAAGUGAAAUUGAUACAUUACCUUGUGCAUCUCCACCAGUUAAAGAUACCACCCUUGGAUGGAGGAAGAGUACUUCAAGAGAAGAUGCCGCAUCUACCUAUGAGACAGAUAAGGCAAGUCAAGACGAUACCACACUCUGGUACUUAGAAGUUUCGUGAUUACGAGAUCAUUCUCCCACAGUCUUUCCUAAUGUCAUUUGUACUAAAUCAUUCACUUGUACUCAUUAAAGGAGAGCUUGAACCUACGUACUUGUGUAAACCCUUCACAAUUAAUGAGAACUCCUCUAUUCCGUGGACGUAGCCAAUCUGGGUGAACCACGUACAUCUUGUGUUUGCUUUCCUAUCUCUAUCCAUUUAUAUACUUAUCCACACUAAUGACCGGAGCAAUCUAGCGAAGAUCACAAAAAACGACCGUUUUCGCUACCUAGGAUCUAUCUUGCAAGAGACCGGAGAAUUAGAUGGAGAUCUCAACCAUAGAAUACAAGCUGGAUGGAUGAAGUGUAAGAGUGCAUCCGGCGUGUUGUGUGACCGUCGUAGGCCACUGAAGCUCAAGGGAAAAUUUUAUAGGACGGCAAUAAGGCCAGCAAUGUUGUAUGGCACAGAAUGUUGGGCGGUGAAGUAUCAACACGUACACAAAAUGGGUGUAGCGGAGAUGAGGAUGCUUCAUGGGAUGUGUGGGCACACGAGAAAGGAUAAAAUUGGGAAUGAGGAUAUCCGAGGUAAAGUAGGAGUAGCCGAAAUUGAAGGAAAGAUGAGAAAAAAUCGGUUACGGUGGUUUGGACAUGUGCAAAGAAGGCCUACUGACGCUCCGGUUCGAAGAUGUGACUACGGGACAGAGGUUCAUGGCCGAAGGGGUAGAGGAAGACCUAGGAAAACUUUGGAAGAGACCCUAAGAAAAGACUUAGAGUACUUGGAUUUAACGGAGGACAUGACACAAAACCGAGCGCAAUGGCGUUCUAGGACUCAUUUAGCCGACCCCACUUAGUGGGAAAAGGCUUUGUUGUUGUUGUUGUUGUCUAAUUUUUAUGCAAGACAUGAAAUAUUGUAGGAAUCAAAUGUAUGAUUGUCACCAAAUGUAUACACCUGUGCAUAGUUAGUUUUCCUUACUCUAUUCGAAUUUCGCUCUAAUUUUCUUUACUCUUCCUUGUAUGCUGUGUUGUAUGUGAAAAUCUGAAAUGAUAGCAUUUGUUAAUCUGUGUUUUGGGUUGUGAUUUCCCAUAUUUUACUUACAAUUUCUGAGUCAUUUAUCUGACCUGAAAAAAAUAUUUGGUCCUACUUCUGGGCUAACAUUUAUUGGUUUUAUUUUUAUUCCUGAUAGAAAUUCAAACAUCAUCCUGCAAUCAAAACACCGCUGGAAGGUGGGACUGUUCCCUAUAAGUAUGCUGUCAGCACUGAAUGAAAUGUUUAUUGAAGAGUUAAGGCUGGAGGCUUUAAGAACAGGGUUUCUCAUAGCUGGAGUUCUCAUUGUUGUCAAUCAUAGUAAUUUCAUGUAAGAUGUAGUUAAAGCACACUACAAGCAGAAGUAGACAAUUUGCAAUCCUUCUCCCUUGGUUUCUUAACUUUUGAAUAUAUAGCGUAAUCCCCUAUUGCUAGACAUUCUAGCAACAUAGGUGCUUAUGUUGCCAGAUAGUGUAUAUGGACCACACAUUCUGGCAAAAGUUUACAUGAUCAAUGGUUUAGAUUUACAAUUUGGCAUAUGUGGUCAGACUAUCAUUCUGAACCAUUGAUAAGAUGGGUGUUUGCUUAACGUGUGGUGCCAGAUUUAUAGUCUUGCGACAUUUCUGCUAUUUUUAAGAGAGCAAUACUCUCUCCGCUUCCUCCUUGCAUAAUGAUAAUUAUAUAUUUGUGUGUGUGUGUGUGUGUGUAACUAUGUAUAUAUCUUUUUUUUUUUGUGUUGUACAUGUUAUACAAAUGCAAGUAUGAUGUUAUAUCCCCCCCUAAGCUGCUGAAACUCACAUAUCAUAUAGGAUGCAUAUGUUUUGUUUUAUUGAACUGGACUAACAAAAUUUAGAGUUUCUACUUAUUUGAUAUGGAUAUGGAGUAAAUUUGCUCCGUUGUUAAUAAGUUCAUGUUCCCUCUCUUAAUUCAGGCAUUGAGUAUAUCCCUUUCGGCCCUGGGGUCUUCGAAGUGGCUUCAGAAUAAUAAGCCUAAGACACUGGUUCUUAUAAUAUACAUGUGUAGGAAUUGUUCAAACCAUCCAUCUAUCAUAAGGUCAGCUCCUUAGCUUCCCUUUGUUCUACCGCUACUUGAAAAAUUAUGCGCUUUUAAAAUUGGUCCAUUGCUAUGACUAUUUCAAAGUUAAUUUUGGGCCAACAUAAUAGAAAGACAUUUUCAAAGUUAAUUUUAAAUGAAAAUGUUAUUUCCAAAAUGCUUAGCUUUUAUGAAGGUAAUCCCAAUAAGAUCUAUGAGUUUGAUUCACUUUAGUUUUUAUAAUUCUUAUUUGUUCGCAUUUCCUCAUGUUCAUGCAGUAUAGUUUUUAUAAUCCCUUGAAUGAUACUCAGCUCUCAGUUUCCAAGUCAACCCCCUUCGAUGCUGAUCAGAGAUACUCACGUUUGCAGCGUGAUGGCUUGGUCUCUAGGCGUGAGAAGUCAAUGACAUAUAUGCAAGAUGAUAUGCAACAACUGAGAGGAUGCAGUUCUGGCACCUAGGUUUUGGGAAGAAAUGGAAUGGAGAUGAUACUGAAGAAGAUUGUAAGUCAUGCCUAAUCACUAAAUACAUUAGCAAUUUUAGUGACUAGUCUGAGCUCACCCUAUAUAUAUGAAGAGAUAUUGAAAUAAUGAUUAGAAUAUGGUAAUUCACAAAUGAUUAGGAUUGUGUGAAUGUUAGUUUAAAAUGAAGUUUCUGACCAGAGAUACUCAUGUUUGUAGCGUGAUGGCUUGGUCUCUAGGCGUGAGAAGUCAAUGACAUAUUUGCAAGAUAAUAUGCAACAACUGAGAAGAUGCAAUUCUGGGACCAAAUCCCUGGGUUUUGGGAAGAAAUGGAAUGGAGAUGAUACUGAAGAAGAUUGUAAGUCUUGCCUAAUCACUAUAUACAUUACUACAUUAGCAAUUUUAGUGACUGGUCUGAGCUCACCCUAUAUAUAUGAAGAGAUAUUGAAAUAAUGAUUAGAAUAUGGUAAUUCACAAAUGAUUAGGAUUGUGUGAAUGUUAGUUUAAAAUGAAGUUUCUGACCAUUGUAAACAAACUAUAUAUUUUACCUUUGUCUUGGGAUACAGUAUCACGUUUAACGAUUGAAUUUGUAAUACGGUUUAGCAGUUUUUUCAUAAACUUAAUAUUCUUGCCAGAUGCUCAAGUAUUGUCUUCUACUUUUCUACUUUCCCCUUUUUGUGUUUUUCCUCCAUGUAGUGGGCUGAUUACUUGAAACUAUGAUAUUGAUGACACAGUACGGUCUACAAAUGAAUGUUUCUUAUAGCUAUCCAUAUAUAGCAAGCAAGUUUUGACUUCAUUUGUUCUUAGGUACUACAACGUCUUUUUAGUUGCUUUGUGUCGAAACUAUUCAUGCUUUCACUCAUGUGUCCCUUUGUUCAUUCAUGAUUGUAUUGAAUUUAUUCAGGUUAAUGUGUCUUAUUCAUGCAGUUACGCCUGAAACAGUUGCUUCCCGCCGCAACACGCAUACUUAUCAUCUAGUAAUAACAAAAAGAACGAAAUUUCAUUCUUUUUGGGGUAAAGAUGUAAUUUUGAAUCAAAUGCUAUUCUUAUCAUAUUUUUAGGAUAAAUAACGGUUUAACACAUUGAACUAUCACUCCAGUUGAAAUUGACCCCUUAAACUAUAUUUUUGGUAAAUUAACACCCUGAACUAUUUAAAGUAUGUCAAUUAACCCCUUCUCGUUAGAUUGCGGAAUCAAUUCCGUCAAAUUCAAGGGCAAAUUAAUCAUUUCAUCAUCAAUUGUUACUUGCAAUUAUAAUUACCAAUAAAAUUAUGACACAUGGACACAUAAUAAUUCAAAAACAUAUAGCAUAAUGAGAAAACACAAAAAACCAAACUUUUAUAUAAUGGACCAUCUCACAUUGUCAUUACACAUUAUUUUGUGUCCACAUGUCAUAAUUUCAUUGGUGGUUAUAGUUGACAAGUAAGAAUUGAUGAAGGAAUGACUAAUUUUCUUUUGAAUUUGACAAAAUAGUUGAUGGAAUAUACUGACAAGGGGUCAAUUGGCUGAUUUCAAAUAAUUUAGGGGUUAAUUUACCACAAAAAUAGUUCAGGGGAUAAAUUUCAACUGGAAUUAUAGUUAAAGGGGUCAAAUGGAAAUUUACCCUAUUUUUUAUACCGUAUUUUUAAUUCUUCUAUGAGACGUGUGUGUGUGUGUGUGUGGACCUCGCUUUUAUUAGAGAGAUUGAAAAACUUAUUAAUGUGCUCGUAAUAGUAGUUGUACCAUAUGUUAUGGUACAAAUACUGAAUACUAUGCCGUGUUUCAAGCAUACUGAAAUAUUUGUCAGAAAGAUGGUACAAAUGUAAACGACUUCACGAAUGAUGGCAGGCCUACCAAAUAUAAAAUGGUGGUUAUUUGUUCAUUUGUCAAACCCAGCUGGUGCAGUGGUUGGUGUGGGUGGUCUCACAUGUUGACCUCAACGACUGCUAUUGCUACAACAUAGCAAUUUUCCUGCUCAGCUGACUAAAUUGCAAAGAUGUAAACUUUAUUUUUAUUCAUCUCCGACUCUCAUCCAGAUCGCAUUGUUAAUCACCCCUCUAAUUCGAGUUUUUCUUUCUUACGGUAUUGAUAAUAUAACAGCAUAUAAUGAAUCUUCCAAAGUACAGGGCAUAUAAUAUACCAGCACUUCUGAAAUUAUUGAACAUUGAAUCGGAACGAGUGUGAAAAGUGCUAUAUGAUGGAUACCUAAGUCAAUGCAUGAGACAAACGCUGAUUCAUCACGUCACGUUCAUAAAUUCAGUCUCCUUGCAAUCCAGAAAGUCAUCUGCAACCUAAGCAGAAAUAUUCCACAUAGAAUUGAAAAAUGUUCAUGAUUUCUUAUCAUAUGAGAGCAAACAUUCAUCAGUUAUAGAUACUUUGUCUGCCAGAAAAGGCAGGAUACAAAAUGGCAGAACUGAUUGUAUGCUUUGUGGUCGACAAAUUAAUUCAACUACUCAUCACUACAGAAGCAAACCUCUCGAGAAAUGCACGUACUGAAGUUGGUUUCAUCAAAGAUGAACUCGAGAGCAUCCGAUCAUUCCUCAGGGAAGUAGAUGCUAUGGCUGCAGCAGCAGUUGGAGAGACGGCGAAUGACGGUGUCAAAACUUGGGUCAAUCAAGUAAGAGAAGCAGCUUUUUACGUGGAAGAUGUCAUUGAUGAAUAUUUGCUCCGGAGUAUACGGCAUCAUCAGCACCAUGGAUUCGUUCGUUUUUUCCAUAAAAUUAUCCGGUUGGCUAAAACAAUGAGAUCACAGGAUGGGAUAGUUUCGAAAGUUGACCGUAUAAAAGAAUUGGUACGUGAAAUCAAGGAGAGAAGCGAAAGAUAUGGAUUCAAAUCCAUUGAUCAGCAAGGCCAGAGCAGUGGAGAAAAGUCUCUACAGUGGAACGACCCUCGAGUGGUUUAUUGGUAGGAGUGCCAAGACGUGAAGUGAUAUCAGUGGUUGGCAUGGGAGGACUUGGAAAAACCACUCUUGCCAAGAAAGUGUAUGACCAUCCGAAGGUCAUGGCACACUUUGAUUGCUAUGCUUGGAUUACGGUGUCCCAGUCAUACAGGGUUGAGGAUCUUUUGAGGACGGUAAUAAAAAGGUUCUACAGUUCAAGGAAGGAGCGUUUCCCAGGGGAAAUUGACACAAUGGAUGAGGAGUCCCUGAUUAGCAAAUCAAGAGAGUAUUUGCAGCAAAAGAGGUACGUUGUUGUGUUUGAUGAUGUGUGGAAAGUAGAUUUUUGGGGGGGCUAUAGAACAUGCUUUACACGAUAAUAAAGGUGAACGAAUAAUUAUCACUACAAGGAUUCAGGAUGUUGCCGAUUUUUGCAAAAGAUCUUGUUUUGUUCAUGUUCAUCACUUGCAACCUCUGCCUGCAAACAAGGCAUGGGAAUUGUAUUGUAGAAAGGCAUUUCAGUUUGAAUUGGAGGGAAAUUGUCCUCCAGAGUUGGAAGAGUUGUCUCUUAACAUCGUCAAAAGAUGCGAAGGACUACCUUUGGCGAUUGUUUCCAUAGGUGGUCUGCAGUCAACGAAAGUUAAGCUUGUGUCUGAAUGGCAGAAGUUAUACAAUAGCUUAAGUUCAGAGUUAGAAAGCAAUCCCCAUCUUACAAGCCUCACAAGAAUCCUAUCACUCAGCUAUCAACAUCUUCCGUAUCACCUCAAAUUGUGUGUCAUAUACUUUGGCAUCUUUCCCGAGGACUACUCAAUUAGUUGCAUAAGGUUAGUUCGGUUGUGGAUCGCUGAAGGCUUCGUGAAACCGAAGAGGGGUAAGACGCUAGAAGAGGUUGGAGAGGAAUACUUGAUGGAGCUAAUUCACCGAAGCCUAGUCCAAGUGUCAGAAGUUUACACUGAUGGAAAAGCUCGAGCUUGUAGAGUUCAUGAUCUUUUGCACGAAGUCCUCCUUAAAAAGGGUGUGGAUUCGAGCUUCUGUCAUGUGUUAUCAAAAGACGAGUCAACUUUUAAACCAACAACUCGACGUCUCUCAAUGGACAUCAGUCCCUUUGAGGCCCUGGGAAGCAUUACACAAUCCCACAUUCGUUCUGUAUUUACUUUCAACCAAGAAGAAUGGCCCGAGUCUUUUCUCAAUACAUUGAGUGGAAACUUUAAACUUCUGAAAGUAUUGGAUGUCACGGAUGCUCCAAUCAAUCAACUUCCGAAAUAUGUGGGGGAUUUGUAUCUCUUGACAUACUUAAGCCUGAGGAAUACAAAGGUGAAGUUGCUUCCAGACUCCAUAGGCAAUCUGCAAAACUUAGAAACUCUGGAUCUAAAACAGUCUUUGGUGUAUGAAAUACCAGCCAAGAUCAAUAAGCUUGUUAAGCUGCGGCAUCUUUUGGCCUACUAUCGUGACUACAACUACAACAUGGAUAUGUUCUUGAAUAUGGAAAGAGGAGUGAAGAUACAUGAAGGUAUUGGAUGCUUACAAGCUUUGCAAAAACUGUCCUAUGUGGAGGCGAAUCAUGGAGGGAACAAUCUGAUCAAAGAACUGGGAAAGUUAAGGCAGCUGCGGAAGUUAGGCCUAAAAAAUUGGAAAAGUGAAGAUGGAAGGGCUCUACGUGCUUGUAUUGAAAAGCUGAACCACCUUGAAUCUCUACUUUUAACUGCACUAAAUGGAGAUGAAGUCCUUGAUCUAGAAUCCAUUUCAACUCCACCAGAAUUUCUUUGUGCUCUCUGCUUGAUAGGGCGUUUAGAGCAGUUGCCAAGUUGGAUUUCAAAUCUCCAACACCUCGUCAGGAUAACGAUUUUUUGGUCAAGGUUGAGAGAUUCCCCAUUAAAAGCCCUUCAAAAUCUACCUAAUCUGUUGGAGCUAGUUUUGAAAAUCAAUGCAUAUGAUGGUGUGCAGCUGCAUUUUGAGGAAGGAGGAUUUCAGAAGCUGAGGCAUCUGGAACUCAGGGACAUGGAGGGACUAAAUUCAUUGAUCAUAGACAAUGGGGUUAUGCCUCUUCUCCAAGAGUUUCACAUUGGACCUUCCCCACAACUGAAGGAGGUGCCCUCUGGCAUCCACCAUCUCCGAAAGCUGAGAUAUCUUGUUUUCUUUGAGAUGCCAAAGGAGUUUGAACGACAUAUGGAUCCAAAUAAUGGACUGCAACAUUGGAUUGUUGAACAUACACAAGAUGUCCGCUUUAGUUACAAGUUCGGACCAAGAUGGUGUGAAUAUGAAACUCACGCCCUACGUGAUUCCAACUUUUCUUUUUGGGAGAAUGCUUGAUUCCAGCUUGUGAAACCAAGCAUGGGAAUGGGAUGGUCUCUUUUUGUACAGUUUUUGGUUAGAGGUUGACUGGGAGUGACUCUUUCUCUUCUGUUUUUUUUGUGUCUUCCAGUCGAGUGGCCUUCCUAGUAUUUUCCUUAUAAUUUUAUUGGUGGUUGCAAUAAAACUGUUUGUUUAUAAAAAUUAAAAAUAAAUAGGUAUCGUGCAACUCAUAAUGCUCAAAUACCAUAAUAAAUUUUCAUUGAACUUUAGGUGAAUGAAUCAAGUUUUUACAAAGAUAAAUGGCAACUAUUUACCUCAAAUCUUUGUUGUAAAAAUGAAGAAUUCCUUCAUUUUUUUUUUCUGGUGAGUUUUGUCCCUAAAUCAACAAUUCAACUAAUUGAGAAAAGUAAUUGAAGAAAGUUGAGGUUUCAUCAUAAAACCAAUUGACAUCAUAGGGAGUAGUCCAACUAUGCAAGAUCUCGCCCUCCAUCAAUGGAAUUCAUUCUCAAUAUGCCCCCUCACGUGUAGCGAAUUUUCAAUCCGAACACGUAGACAACACAAACGGGAUGACGAAGAGCACGUGUGGCCGUUGAGUUUCACGCAUGAGACAACUUGCUCUGAUACCAUGAAAAAGUUGGGUUCCAUCGUAAAAUCAAUUGGUACUAUGGGGAGUAACCCAAUUGCUUAUAAGUACAUGUAAUAUCUCUCAUUCGAUCAAUGUAGGAUUCAUUAUCAAGAGUAAUAAGACUGAAGAACAUGAUUUAGUAAACUAAAUCUUACCAUUUUUCAUCACAGAAGAGGCAGGCAUCCAUUGAGGUGUGGCGCUAGCUGGGCUAUUGAAUAAUAACAAGAAGAAAGAAAUUUCAUUCUUUUUGGGGGUAAAGAUGUAAUUUUCAUCAAAAUGCUACUCUUGUCACAUUUCACAUCACAUUUUUACCACAUCAACUAUAGAGAGAAAAUUUUUAGUAUUUGAAAUAUGGACACCUACGUCAUAUGUCAUUAUACAAGUGGAGGGAUUGAGUGAGAUUCGAGAGCCCUGCGAGGGAAGCCAUUUUGCAUCUUUUGUUGGCGUACAAACACCAUCCUCGUAUAAUAACAAAAAGAACGAAAUUUCAUUCUUUUUGGGGUAAAGAUGUAAUUUUGAAUCAAAGUCUUUUCUUAUCAUAUUUUUCUUACUGUAUUUGUAACCGUUAUGAUGCAAAUGUGUGUGGAUCUUACUUCUAUUAGAAAAAUUAAGAAAAUUUUUAAUGUGCUCAAAAUAAUAUUUGAUACUAUUCUGUGUUUCAAAUACACUAAAAAAAUCUCUAAACAACUUCAUGAACGAUGGCAGGCGUACCAAAUAUAAAAUGGCGGUUGUUUGUUUAGUUGUAAUACCCAGCUGGUGCAAUGGUUGGUGUGGCCUCACUUGUUGACCUCAACGACUGCUAUUGCUACAACAUAGCAAUUUUCCAGCUCGGCUGACUAUAUUGCAGAGAUGUAAUCUUUCAUUGAACUUUAGGUGAAUGAAUCAAGUUUUUAGCGUCUGAAACACAAAAUGCUCAAAUGUCAUAAUAAAAUUUCAUUGAACUUUAGGUGAUUGCAGAGAUGUAAUCUUUCUGGGGGUAAAGAUGUAAUUUUAAUCAAAAUGAUACUCUUGUUACAUUUCAUAUCACAUUUGUACCACGUCUACAAUAGAGAGAAAUUUUUUAGCGUUUGAAACACGGACACCUACGUCAUAUGUAAUUAUACAAGUAGAUAAACAUUUGAAAAAUAAAACUUCUCAACAUUUUGUACAAUAACAUGAGGUGCCGUCCGUAUUUUGAACACAUUGAAAUUUCUCUCUUAAUAGAGAUAUGACCACAUGUGUUGAAGGCCUUCUUCUAUUAAAAAAUAUGAUAAUUUUGAAUUGAAAAUUUGAAAGGUUUGACGAAUGACGGCAGGCUUACCAAGUAUAAAAUGGUGGUUGUUUGUUUAUAGGAGAGUGCUUGUUUUAAUUUUCGUUUGGUUGUGCUGCCUCUUCUGAAUCUAUGUAUGAAGGAUGGAGAUUUUUUAUUUGUAGGAUCUACUUCAUUAAUUUGUUGCUUUGGAAUCAUGGUGGUGAUUAAGCGAUGCGAUAGACCUAUAAGCAUCGUACUCUCAAUCACAAUUUAUGGUUUGAGAUUUUGUUCUCACAUGAUCAUCUUGUAACAUGAAGUUUCCCAUUUUAUCUGUGUAAUCAUGUGAUUCCCAAUGAGCUCAGAUGAAUGGUUGAAGUUUACUUGUUGCUUUGCAAGUAGUGAUGCUUAUUGUAAUAUUUUUAGAUCUAGUUUAUAAAGACCCUUUUGAAGCCAAAUUCUUCAUGAUAUAUAUUUAUAAUACUCUUCUAUAAAUGAAUGAAAAUAUCAUACUGCUCUUGUUUUUUUUUUUUUUUAAAAGAGAGUUUGGAUAGGUAUUACUAUUGAUGCAAAGCCACAGGAAACCUUGUUGGCUUUGGUAAGGCAAACCAUUAAGCAUGCAAUUACUAGUCAAUCCCAUCUGCCAGCUGGUGGAAUGGUUGGUUUGGUCUCACUUUUUGGUGUGCCUUGUAUAAAAGGCAUGUGAUGCUCAGUUCCGUAUUUUAGUCACAUUAAAAAAUUUCUCCUUAUACAUUAUUCCAAGUUCAGGACAUAAUAUAUACUGACAUUGAUUCUCUCUGGAUCCAUUUCCAUAAUAUACCAGCAGUUCUUGAAUUAUUGAAAAUUGAAUCAGAAAAAGUCUGCAAUAUGAUAUAAUGGAUUGGAUAGGAAUCCGAAUCUCUUCCUCCGAAUCCAUCAAAUAAGGAAAUUCGUACAGUUGAAAUUUGAUCAAAUCAUUAAAAUUAUUAUAACUUUUAAAUUGGCUAUCUGUUUGUAACCGUUAAAUCAAAUUUCAACGACACGAAUUUUCUGAUUUGAUGGAUUCCUUAUGGAUUACCUAAUUCAAUAGGAGGUAGAUUCUCUGCCCUCCCACUUCUUAUGCCCUCCUGUUUGUGUGGUCACGGUUAAGCCACGUCAAUAUUUUAUAUUACUAUUCUUUUUUGUCUUAUUAUCUUUAUAAAAAAUAAUAUAAAAUGUUAACAUAGCUUAACCGUAACUACACAAAACAGAAGGGUACGGAAGGACACUGAAAGUGGGAGGGCAGAGAAUCUGCCUCCAAUUCAAUAUGAGCCAAUCGUUGCCUUAUCACAUCAUAAUUCAAUAUGAGCCAAUUGCUGCCUUAUCACAUCACCUUCAUAUUUUAAUUCACCUUACAAUCUAGAAAGUCGUCUGCAACGGAUUCGGAUCCCAUCCGGAUUCAAAAUGUGGAAAUGUUAGAGGUUCUCACAUCUUAACUAUUCAUCGUGCAUCGUUUGGUAAAAAAUUAUUUGAUUUUUAUUUAAAAUUAAACAUAAAUAGUACCUGAUGAAAAUUACCGGCAUGAUGUACGAUGAAUAGCUAGGAUAUGAGAAUUUCUAAAAUUCCUACAAAGUGGAUCCGGAGAGGAUCCUCUUCCGUCUGCAACCUAACCAGAAAUACUGCACACAGAAUUCUAAAAUGUUCAAAAUUUCAUAUAAUUGAGCACAUAUUCAUCAAUUAUAGAUGCUUUGUCUGCCAGAAAAGGGCAGGAUACAAAAUGGCAGAACAGAUUGUAUGCUUUGUGAUCGACAAGUUAAUUCAACUACUCAUCGCCACAGAAGCAAACCUUUCGAGAAAUGCACGUACUGAAGUUGGUUUCAUCAAAGAUGAACUCGAAAGCAUCCGAUCAUUCCUCAAGGAAGCAGAUGCUAUGGCUGCAGCAGCAGAUGGAGAGACGGGGAAUGACGGUGUCAAAACUUGGGUCAAUC